Molecule: long non-coding RNA, 67026 nt
Filed under: Triticum aestivum (bread wheat)
Lineage: Eukaryota; Viridiplantae; Streptophyta; Magnoliopsida; Poales; Poaceae
Description: long non-coding RNA (TAES_LNC016639)
Source: RNAcentral
UAGGAUUUUGUUUUCUAGCUUUCUUGGAGAUGAGAAUAAAAUGUUGUGGAUUGUGUUCUUGCAUACUGUUUUUUUUUUUUGUAAUUCUUGUGGAAACCACAGCACACUGUCGUUAUCUAAUCAGAUUAUGUGCAUUUUCCAUAUAAAUGUUCUACUUGCCUCUUAUGUGGCCCUGUUUAAAUUCAGUUUUUCUGUUUCUGAGAGCACAAUUUUGUUUCAUGCUUGCGACUGGAAAUAGAAAGAGAACCCAAAUUUGUGUUGUUUAAUUGUGUGCACAACACAAUGUUUAUUUGAAAUGAUGCUUUAAUUUGGAUUUAUGGGGCACAUCUGCAUGGCAUUUUAAUUAGGAAUAUUGAAUGUUAUUUCCCUGUGGAGCAGAAUUAGCAGAUGGAGUGGCAAGUUCUCAUCUUGUGAUGGUGACGAUGAGUACCAGAAGUUUGGGGAACACUGCAUCGUACAAUUCGCGGAACAAUCCAUUUUAUACAUCUUUGAAUGACAGUCAAUUUUGUCAAUCUUACCUAUAGAGUGCCAUAGUCCAUGGGAGAUCACAGCGAGUACGUGUACUGGUUGCUCGAGAUCGAGGAAGAUGAGCAGAGAAUUGGCAUUCUUUAUGGAGGCAAACAGCCGCCGAGAGGUUAGUUCUUGCUAUCCAUCUUUUGGAUUAGCAACAUGUGUGUUGAUUAACUUGGGUAUGAUUUUGAUUAGUUAAGUAAGAAGAUCAUAUUAGCCUUUGCACUGUGAUUUUGGACAUCAAGUGCAUCAUUAGAGUUGUGCUCUUCAAACUGCUAUUAUGCACUAUCAAUUUAAUGGUUUUUAGUUAUUGAUAAAACCUUAAAUUUCCCACUGGGAGUGUGCACUAUCCAUUAUUUCCAUUAGUGAUUUUACUUUAAAUAUCCCAUACCACUGUGUUGUAAGGUCAGUGCAGAUAGUGGUGUUUAUCUCUGCAUUGUUACGUCCUAAGUUUCCAGUGAACAUCACCUUAAAUCAGUGGAAAUAUUUUCUUUAUUUGACAAGGUAAGGUUAAUCCUCUAAUUAAAUGUUGCAUUUGUCCCAAAGAGAUGAGCAGAAUAAUUAUAUAUUACAAUACCAAUGUGUGCAGAGAGAUGUUUACAUUAGCAUAGAAAAAUAUGAAAAAGAGGGUGGAGGGAGAACAGAGCUAUUCCAGGGACUGCAGCUAGGAUUCGAAAGGGCCUGUAAGUUCCUAUUUCAUCCUAAAAGAUUGGAGAUAUGGGUCCCUUCUAAACAAAAAAAGUAGGUGACCAAGAUAGUGCGUUGUUGUCUACAAAAGUAAGGCAUAGGCAUAAACAAGUUGAUAAUGAGAUAGCAUGGUAGUUGUUGACGUAUUACGUGUUGAUACUUUAUGUUUAUUUUUGUUGCAGUAUCAACAAUCCCUCACAUCAUGUAGAAAAAAGAUCCCAUCAUAUUCUUUGUUUGCUUCCUGUGAAAUAGAGUACUAUACUUAGGUGUUACCGAAAUUCUAAUAUUGUACUCUACUUAGUAAAAUUAACUUAGUAUUGGUUCUUUGUGUAUUUCACACAGCGUCCUCUGCAACUCAAAUUCAGGCAAUACAUUUGUCGUGUCAAGUUAUAUUGGAAGAGGUGGUAGAGCAUCUAGGAGGGCUGCCACCCAUUUACAAUUCGAGCCAACGAUACGGAGAAUGGCAAGCGUGCACGGCUGCGCGUAUACCCAAUCUUAUUGAAUCGUAUUGAACCUGGCAGAUUAGAUGAAGCAUCUAUAUAUAGCCAGAGACCUUCAACCACUCCUAAAGCUGCUGAAGAGAAAACAACAGAGAGCCUCAUAGCUUCUUUGUGCAGCAAAAAGGAAUUUGAGAUCAAUGAUAUACACGCUACAUGUACAGCAACAUGACAUAGUUGCAUCUGCAAGAAAAUAGAUCCUCAAAGGAAAGGGAAAAUGUGACGAUGAGUACCAGAACUAUAUCACACCAAUGGUGCCGACGUACCUCCCUCAUACGCGGUCUCCGACAUCAUCUUGCACUAUCUCAAGCAGUGUUGCUAGGAAGGAGCUGAAUGGAAGUGAAUUAGCUUUUCACUUCUUGCCGUGUAUUGCUACUAUGAUUUUCACCUUUUUGCUAGCUGUUGGUUGGUCUGUAAAGUAUAUAUACUCUCUUUCCAUCAACAACACAACAUGAACCAUAUAGAACCAUUGAUUCACUUGGCCCAAGCCAUUAUAUAUAUCAUACCUUUGGAGCAUUUCAUUCCAUGAUAACAUGUAUGAAUCAUACAUAGAGCUAACGAUUAGUCCUGUUGUUACUUCAGUUAGACUGAAGCUAUUACCAGGGCAAUACUAUGUAAGAUAAGUAAGUGACUUGUACACAUCAAGCCAGCCGAUCGUAAUAAACCACGUAUAAAUUAAAUUAAGUACUUAACUCAUGAAUGAAGAACGGGCGCAAAUUAAAUUAAGUACUUAACUCAUGAAUGAAGAACGGGCGCGGCAAGGCGCGCGUCAUGCUCUAGUAAGUUAGAUACACCCAAGAUUGGACAUGACUAAGUAUUUUACGAGAAGGUACAAACUCAGGGCAUUUUGUAUAGCCGAGAUAUGUUUUCUCACAAGAUAUUUUUAUCCUUUUUGUAGAUCUAACCUCCUAUUUGUUCCAUUCUAUUCUUCCCUUCUACUUUAAUCAUAGAAAAAAAAAGCAGAGCUCCCGCUGUUAAACCACACUCAUGUACAUUUGUGUAACAGUCUGAUGUAACUAAGUCUAGUCCUAGAUUGUAGGAUCCACUAACGCUCAUGGCCUGCGUGCCUUGUUUCUAGCAAUGUUAGCUCACUCCCUGCGGGGAUAUAUGCUGUACUUUGUAAUAUUGUUGGGCAGUGAAUACAAUUGAGCUCUCCAACUUGGUAUCAGACACCAGGCGCAUCAUGGCCACCAACUCCUCCUCCAACGCCACCACGAGCUCCGCCACCUCCCCCGGAUCCCUUUCUUCCUCCUCGACAGCGCCUGCUACGGCCACCGCGCCGGCCCCCUUCCUCUUCGGCACCUCUCCCUCUCUUCUCAGCGGCUCUUCCCCCGCCGACUCGGGCUCUCAAUUCGCCCCUCUGUUCACCUCCGGCGUCACCACCGCCCUGCCGGCACCCGCCCCGCGCCUCCCUAUCUUCCAAGAUCACAUCACCAACCACAUAAAAUUCCUUCUUAACCCCGCCGAUCACAACUAUCACAAAUGGAAGACUUUCUUCCUCAUGGUUCUCGUCCGAUACGACGUCUCCUUCCUCAUCGACCAGCCGCCGCCACCCAACGCCUCCUCCACCUACCUCGAGCUCGACGCUCACGUCGUCCUAUGGAUCUAUGCCACCCUCUCGGACACCAUGUGUGAUCAUGUCGUCGGCGCCACCACCACCUUCGCCCUCUGGCACAAGAUCCGUGACUACUUUCUCGCCAAUCGUGCCGCCCGCUUCAUGAUUCUCAAUCGCCAGUACCGCAAUCUCAAGCAGGGUGAUCUCUCGGUCUCCGAAUACGCUCGCCGAAUGAAGCUCCUUACCGAUGACCUCGCCGAUAUCGAUCGCGCCGUCACCGAGGUGGAUCUCACCACCCAGUUUCUCCACGGCCUCGACAAGCGCCUCGACACGAUCCGGGUCGUGCUUGGCAAUCAGGAUCUCCCCUUCGACACCGUCCUUUCCUGCGUCGUCCUGGCUGAGGAGUCACAGGAGCAGCGCGCAGCUGAGGAGAGCGCCUCUGCCUUCGCCUUGCCUGGCGGCGGCGCCUCUGGUGCCGGCUCUAGCACUGGGGGCCGUACCCCGAGCGAUCGUGUGGAUCGCCCCCCUGCCGGUGCGCAGGAUGCUCCCCCACCGCCACCGCAUCCUGGUCGUGGGCGUGGCGACCGCGAUGGUGGUGAUCGCGGUGACCGUGGCGAUCGUGGAGGCCGCAGACGCGGUCGUGGGCGUGGCGACCACAACGGCCGUGGUCAUCCCUCCCCACAUCUGGCGUCGCCCUUCACCGGCUACUUCGCACCCUACGGGAUGGCCCUUCCCUCACCGCGCUCUGGCUGGAUCCUCCCGAACGCCGCCGACGUGCUCGGUCCGCGCCCCGGGUCGCAUGCGCAGGCUUACCCGCUGUUGCCUGCCCCGACGCCACACGCUCCGUUCUAUCCGCCUGCUCCAUCGUCAUGGGAACAUGCUGCUAUGCUCAAUGCCGCCUACAGCAAUGGUGGCUUCCCGGCCGCCGCCGCCCCCGAGUGGUACUUCGACAGUGGUGCUUCCUCCCACGUGACCGGCAACCCAGGCAUCCUUUCCAAGUCUAGUUAUUCUUUAAAGCAUGUCCCAUCUAGCAUACUUGUCGGCAAUGGCCACCACUUACCUGUCACCGCCACUGGUUCUGUUACACUUUCACCUCAUGAUUUUCGCCUCACCGACGUUCUUGUCUCUCCCAAUGUUGUCACCAGUUUAAUUUCUGUUCGCCGUUUUACUAAAGACAAUUCUUGCUCCAUUGAGUUUUACCCUUACGGUUUUCUUGUGAAGGAUCUUCGCACUCGGAGGGUUCUCAUGAUCUCCGUUAGCAACGGCGACCUCUAUCCUUUCCACGGCAACAACUACACUCCACCGCCGGCGCUCACCGUCUCCCCGUCGGACUUGUGGCAUCGGCGCCUUGGGCACCCCGGAGCUCACUCCUUGUCUACAUUAGCCAACGACUUCAUUAGCUCAUGUAAUAAAAGUGCUCACCCUCCAUGUAAUGCUUGUCAGCUCGGACGCCAAGCACGUCUCCCUUUUUCUUCUUCCUUUAGUAAAACAUUUGCACCUUUUGAUUUAAUACAUUGUGAUUUGUGGACCUCUCCCGUUGUAAGCUUCUCUGGUUUUCAAUAUUAUCUCGUGGUGCUUGAUGAUUUCACACACUACUCUUGGACAUUUCCCCUACAAAACAAAUCGGACACCUCUUCUACCUUACAACGCUUCUUCACGUUCAUCCACACACAAUACAAUGUCAUCAUCAAAGCAAUGCAAUGUGACAACGGCGGCGAGUUCAUCAAUUCCUCCCUCCGCUCCUUCUUCUCUAACAACGGCAUAGCAUGUUGGUUCUCCUGCCCACACACCUCUCCCCAAAAUGGCAAGGUCGAACGUCUCAUUCGAACUACAAAUGAUGUCAUUUGUUCACUCCUUUUUCAAGCAUGUCUUACCCCCCAUUCUGGGUUGAGGCCCUCCACACCGCCACCUAUCUCCUAAAUCGCCGUCCCUCCCGUGCCAUCCACGAUCACACACCCUACUACCUGGUUCAUGGGACACAUCCCACUUAUGAUCAUCUUCGUGUAUUUGGGUGCUUAUGCUUCCCCAACACAUCCGCCACCAUGCCUCAUAAACUCUCCCCUCGCUCGACCCGGUGCAUCUUCUUAGGCUAUCCGCUCGAACAUAAGGGGUACCGGUGCUAUGAUUUAUCCACGCGCCGUGUCAUUGUCUCUAGGCAUGUUGUUUUUGACGAAACUACAUUUCCCUACGAACCGGCCACACCACCAGCUACACAACCCCCCUCCGCACCUGAUCCGCUAGCUGCGAACCAAUCCCCACCAGAUCCCUCGGAUCUGCCGCCCCCGCCUACGUCGUACUGGCCACCCCACCCACCCACUCCAGCGCCACGCGCUUCUCCCGCAUGCAACCAAUCCCCAGCCGGCCCCGCCCCCACUACCGGUCAACUGCGUACCAGCCCGCACGGAUCCCACAGCCCGACCGCAUCUUCCUCGCCUGCUGCACCCGCCUCUCCACCACUUAAUCCACCCGCACCCCCCUCGCCUUCCGCGCCUGUCGCCCCUGCCCCACCUGCCGUAGAUUCCUCCUGCCGUGUCGCCAGCCCCACCACAUCUACCUUGGGAUCCGAGGCAUGCACGCCCACUCCUCCUCCACCACGUCUGCCCCGCCAUGCACAGCCGGCUGAACCCCCACGUAACUCGCACCAAAUGACCACCAGGGCUAAACGAGGGUAUUGCAUGCCCCGACGACUUUUUCUCGCUGAUUCUACUUCCACAUCCCUCCCCCCUCUCCCUCCCACGUACAAGUCUGCACUAAAAGACCCAAAUUGGCGGCAAGCAAUGCAAGAUGAGUACCAUGCUUUAAUCCAUAACUCCACUUGGUCUUUGGUGCCUAAGCCUGCAGGUGUAAACGUUGUCAUGGGGAAGUGGAUCUUUCGCCACAAGUUCAACACGGAUGGCUCCUUGGCUCGUUAUAAAGCUCGGUGGGUUGUCCGGGGAUUUACUCAACAAGAGGGUGUGGACUACGACGAGACCUUCAGUCCGGUUGUCAAGCCGGCCACAAUUCGUGUUGUGCUCAGCCUUACCACCUCUCACUCGUGGCCCAUUCAUCAACUGGAUGUCAAGAAUGCAUUUCUUCAUGGUGAUCUCAAGGAAACAGUGUACUGCUCUCAACCGGCCGGUUUUGUUGAUGCAUCUCACCCGGAUCAUGUGUGCCUUCUCAACAAGUCACUCUAUGGCUUGAAACAAGCCCCUUGGACGUGGUUCCUCUGGUUCAAGAACUUCUUGCCCUCCAUUGGGGUUUGUGCCUCCAAGAGUGAUUCCUCUUUGUUCAUCCGCCACAUUGGAUCCAACAUUGCCUACCUUCUAGUGUAUGUCGAUGAUAUCAUCCUUACGACCAACACUCCUGCCACCCUACACUCCAUCAUUGCUUCACUCAAACAGGAGUUCUCCAUGUCGGAUCUUGGUGAGUUGCAUCAUUUUCUUGGCAUAAAUGUUACUCCCAACUCCUCCGGCUUGUUUCUCUGCCAGCAACAGUACACCCUCGAGAUUCUAGACCGCGCCAACAUGCUUCAUUGCAAACCAUUGUCCACUCCUGUUGACACCUCGACCAAGCUCUCUCUUCACGAUGGUCACAUUCUCUCCAACCCUACAUACUACUGUAGCUUGGCUAGCACACUUCAAUACCUCACCCUCACCCGCCCGGACAUCUCCUAUGCCGUCCAACAAGUUUGCCUCUUUAUGCAUGAGCCGCGUGACACUCGUAUGCAACUGGUCAAACGGAUACUACGAUAUCUCCAAGGCACUUCACACUAUGGCAUUCAGCUCUACGAGUCACCAUCUCAUGACCUCAUUGCCUAUACUGACGCUGAUUGGGCAGGUUGCCUGGACACCCGCAAGUCCACUUCGGGGUUUUGUGUCUUCCUUGGCAACAACAUUAUUUCUUGGUCAUCUAAAAGGCAGCCUACCGUGUCACGAUCAAGUGCUAAAGCUGAAUACAGGGGUGUUGCAAAUUGUGUUGCUGAAUCUUGCUGGCUUCGGCAGCUCUUGCACGAUCUCAAGUGUCCGCCGACCCGUGCCACUGUGGUGUAUUGUGACAAUGUUAGUGCCACCUAUCUCGCCUCCAACCCAGUACAACACCAACGGACGAAACAUAUCGAGAUUGAUCUACAUUUCGUCCGAGAUCGUGUGGCUCUUGGCGAGGCUCGUGUGCUUCAUGUUCCUUCGAGCUCACAAUUUGCUGACUUGUUCACCAAAGGCCUUCCUUCUCAAGUGUUCCAUGAGUUUCGUGCCAGCCUGAACAUCCUACCGCACGGAGUUCCGGCUGAGGGGGGUGUUAAACCACACUCAUCUCUACUCCUAAUGUCUCAGUUGGUAGUCUGCGUUCCAGGUUUAUUUUCGUCCCACCAUUUUCGUUCGGUUUUUUUCGUCCUCCCUCCCACCUCCCAAUUUCGUUGGUUUUUUUCGUCGGUUUUUUAUUCGCCCCCUUCCACUGGCAGGACAAACCUAACGUUUAUUUGGUAACACAAUGAAUUCACAUAUGGUGAUUGAUUUAUUCUUUGGUAACCCAACUAACGAAUGGUAAUCAAUCUUUAAAUACCAAAACCAAACGUACAAGGCAAGAAUCAAUUCUUUUUUUCUGACCGAUUAUUUUUCGUCCCCCCUCCCACCUGCCUUUUCGCUUCACCGCCCACAUAAACCCAUCGGAUUAGUUACCAUAUAAAAAAUUUAAUCACAAUCAAUCAAGCAUUGAUGGGAUAUUUCCUUACAUUGAUGUGAUUCAUUUCUUAUCAUGAAUCAUACACGUCAAAAAAAGGUACGACGUGCGAGGAUCAUGGGCACAUGCCCUACAAAUCCGAAAAUGCCUAUAAAAAUUAAAUCAGAAUCAAUCAAGCAUUGAUGGUAUAUUUUAAUUGCUUUGAUGGGAUUUUUGUACACGGUACCAUUAACGCGAUCCUCCCAUCGCUGCCCUCCUCACGAGCAUGGACGGCCGAUCCUCUCGACGCCUGCCCUCAUGUGUCCUCGUGACACCAUCAUCUUCUUCUCUCCGAUCUCCUUGACUAGGAGGACUCCUCUGUGCCCUAGGCCAUGGCCGACGCUGGCGACUCCUCGGUACUCCGCCCGCGCCUUCACAUCCGACGCAGGCGAAACUCCAGCUGAUGCCACGGGAUCCACAUCCUACGCUCGGCGGCCAUCUUCCACUCCGGCUGCUGUGUGGUGCCGCCGCUGCGGGAGGCAACCUGGCAGGAGCAGACGUAGCCGUCCUCGUGCAGCCCGACCCAUGCGUCUAGCUCGGCAUCGAAGUAGCCUCGGCCUCUGAAAGGCAGCAUCCACUCCCCAUGGCGCCUCCACUUGCAGCUCCUGGUGUCGACGGAGUACGUGCCGCAGACCGCCCUGCUCCACGAGGACACGAAUAUGGUGCGCCCAUCCGGGUGCAGCGCGUAGGAGAAGAUCAUCUUGUCCUUGGUGAAGGGUGUUGGCAUGCUUUUCCAGGACCAGUCGAUGGGCAGCAGGUCGUCGUCUUCCGUCGGCGGCGGCUUCCCCAUUGCCUCAAAGGACACAGGCCGCUCCAUGAAGUGGAAGGCAAACGCGAACAUCGCGUCACCGACGCCGGAGGUCAGGAAGGUGUUGGAGCCACAAAGCAGUGCCAGUGCGUCUGGAACGGGAGGGCCGACGGCCAGUCCGACGGUGUCAGUGUCGUAGAAGAGGGUACCGGCGUGUAUGUUGCUCGUGGUGAUGAUGUAGCUGCCCAGGGCUGCGAACUUCAUGGCACGACCACGCUCAGGUGACACUAGUCAGAGGACAGGGGGCGCUGAGGUCGGGACUGUCGACAUCGAUCUUGCGGAUGGUGAAGCCCUCGUGCCAGUCGUCUAGAACCAGAUAGAGGCUCUUCUCCUUGUUGCCGCUGCGGUCGUGGUAGUAGUUGGGCUCAUCCUCCUCGCCCUGCCUUCUUCGCUUAGACAUCCCGCCCCCGACUGACUGAAUUAGUGAAUUCUGAAGUAUAUACCAGAAAAAACACGUACGCAGACGAAAACGCUCGAAUAGAUUGGACGUAGCUGGCUAACCACGGUUGAUGUAGUAUCGAUCUACUAGAAGCAACACGGAUACGCGCAAGCAAUUGAUACACACGGGCAUGCCUCGUGCCCGCUGAUCUUUCUAUUGGUCUCCGGGUGUACUGUUUAUAGGGGUGCAGGGUAAUACGCAUAUAUAGCUAUAGCUAGGACUUGCAACAUAACCGAUUCAGGACAGAACUACUGAUCCUACUUGGUGAUGGAUUCCUGCACAAGCCGGACAUGAGACGUGCUUUUUUUCUUGAGGGAAACGCCGCCGCAGCCGCCGCCAGCGAGUAACCCUAGGGCAGGGCGCUAGAAUCCCUAGAGCAGGGCGGGCAGCAAGGAGCGACGCAAGGAGGCCGUGUCGGUCGUUCCCGCCACCAACGCUAAACCCCAGGUAUUUACGUUCCGUGUCCUCCCCGCACUCUACGCUGAUACAUCAGCGAGGAGCUGACGGUGGAAAUGCUACUCCUCCCCGAACUCUAUGAUGCUUGAUUCGAUCUCGUGGUGUGGAGCCAUUAAGGUGGGCAAGGCUAUUGAGUUUGCUCCUAACGCCGACUUGGGCGAUGGGUGGGACGAAUGCGAGCAACGACCAACAGCGGACAUGGAAUCAAGCCAGCACAGGUCCACGGCAGAGCAGCGCACGUGCUGGUCUUCACUUGGUAGGCGACAGCAGUUCCUGCAUCAAGGUAUGUGCUCUUUUUUACAUUCUUGUCAUGUCUGAUUGAGAAUCGUUGUAUUAGCUCAUGGGCGCCCGUACCAGCAGUCCAGAUUUGAUUCGCGGCCAGCUCGGGUGUUGUGGAGCACAGGGAAGGAGGAGAAGGAGGGCAGGUGUUUACAAUUCGGUGCCAAGGGAGAUAAUCGAGAUGGUGGCGCAGAAUUAGAGGAUGCUAGGUGACCAGGUAGAGGAGAGACAUCACCCAACGCCCAUCGAUGCAGUGAGGAGUGUGGUGUUCUACAGUAUGGUAAUUGGUAAAAGUUUUUGGUCCUAUAAUAUCAGUGUGUGUGUGUGUGUGAGAGAGAGAGAGAUAAUGCAUAUUACAUAAAAAUAACGCUGAGAAUUUAGAUGUAUUGUUUGUCACGGAGCUGUGGCUGGCCGAUUUACAUGAAAUAAAUUCUCUUAGUUGCGGUGGCAAAUAUAAUACACAUAAUCCAUAUUGUUAUGCACUAGCGUGUGUGUGUGAAAUAGAUGGAUUAUGGUCCCAUACCCAAUAAGAUGGAUAUGUGUGUGUGUGUGUUAGAGAGAGAGAGGGAGAGGGGGAGAGAGAGUGAGGAAGUGGUACGGAGAGAGAGUGUGUGUGGGGAUUUGAUGGUAAAAAAGGUCACCAAUGUCAUUUGAUAUGUAUGAGAAUAUUAAAUGUAAUAUUAACAUGAUUAAUAUUGAACUUUUAAAGUUAAUGUGGCCCCGUUGCAAGCGCAUGAGCGUUUUUCUAGUGUACAUUUGUGUAACAGUCUGAUGUAACUAAGUCUAGUCCUAGAUUGUAGGAUCCACUAACGCUCAUGGCCUGCGUGCCUUGUUUUUAGGAAUGUUAGCUCACUCUAUGUUGUACUUUGUAACAUUGUUGAGCAGUGAAUACAAUUGAGCUCUCCAACUCCCGCUGCUUGAGGACAUCUUGAUCUCAUGACAGGCUCAUUAUCCGAAGGUUCUUGUCCAGGUUUGCUGAAGGACAGCUCUCGUUAAGCGCAUUUGUUCUGGGUCAUCACCGUGUCUACGAUGCCGUCCGCACGAGAGGACACCUUCAAAUUUGAGCCAAGCGGACGUGUCUUUCCAAAAUCAGUGUGCGUCGCUCCGAUAUGCAGGCCAACAGGUGGAUGCACAAUUUUACUCAUGCCAAACUCGCAAAUGGUGCACCGCCCUGCACGUGAAGAAAGAGAUUGUUCAGUUAGUUAAAGCAUUUCACUAUAGUGUUCGAUCUGAAAUUUCAAAGCCCCUUAAUCCAGUUAUAUACAACAUGUUGUGGGCAAAAAAAGAACAGCCCAAAAAUACCAAGAGCGAUGUGUUAAAGUAGUAGUAAUUGCAAGUCGCUUACCAAGAUAUGCAUCAUUUGGGCUGUAGUAAGGCAGGGGACAGCAGAAGGAGACCUCCGAUUCUCUGUCGUGGUAACGAACCCAGAGACUGAAGCACUGCUCGGUGUUGUUGGGUCUCUUCUCCUCCCAAACCUGAGCGAAGAAGAGCAUUCGCGUGCCGUCGGAUGCCGCGGCGAGGAAGUUGAUGUGGUAGCAAUGGGAGGAGAGAUAGGCGCUCUCUUUCGCCACGCCGCAGAUGAUUUCCAGCUCAAAUGUUGGUUCCCAUGGGUGCUGAUCGGCGUAGCCGCGGAGGAGUUGUUCAAGCUCUGUCCGUAGAAACCUCUGCCUCUUCUCCAACCAUUGCUUCCUUGCUGGAAGACCAUCCAAGUGACUUGGUGCUGGGAGUGGGGUGAUGGGAGAGCACCGGCGUCCUAGCAUUUUCUGCAACUCUGUGACGCUGGCAGCAGAGAUCAAAUGGCGCGGCCCUUUGUCUUCUCCGGAGCGCAGCAAGGAGCUCAAGGUGUCCAGAAAUUUCGGCCCUGAGGAGGCCAGGGAUGCGAGGAACGACGAGUGGUGCUCUCCGAGGGGGUGUCUGGCGGCCUCGCUGGCACGAUAAAAGGCUUGGCCGCGUGUCUCCGGCGCCGCCCUCCGAAGCAUGUCAGAUAUGUCGCAGCGGUUGGUGCUGAGGUGCUCCACGGCCUGGUGCUCUGAGAAGCCAGUGGCGACACGGACGGCGGCGACGAGGCCGUCGAGGGAGUGGACCUCGAGGCGAAGCAGGGCGUCUACGCCGAGCACGUCCGGCUCGAUGCUGGGGCGCAACGGGGGCGCGAUGACGCUGUACCAAGCGGCAUGGAUGAUGAUGUUGGACGCGGGGUCCAUGGGGCCGUAGCAGUGCCCGGCGACUAGGAUGCCGCGGAGGACACGCCGGAGCGCGGCGCGGGGCAAGCUGGCGAGCGCCUCGACGUACAUGGCGUGGAUGACGUCCAGGAGCCCCGUCUUGAGGUACUCGAUGUGCCCGCAUGUCGGGGGCGCGUCGGCCACCUCCGCCGGCGUGUGCGGAGUGUGCUCGGGGAUGAGCGCGAGGCUGGAUUCGAGCUUGCGCCGCACGGCCUCGGGAGAGCGCAGGCUGGCGAGGCUGAAUGGCGCGCACUGCUGGAACUGCAGGCCUCCUCCAUGUUGGCCGUUGAGGCGGUAAUGCAAGGUCUCGCCGCGUCCUCGUUGUGUGAAGGUGAGUUGCAGACGGGAGCAGACCGUGCGAUGGCGCAGCUGCGAUUUUAGAACGCCGAGGAUGGCCUCGACGUCAUGGACGGUGAGGCGCCGCCCUUCCUCCAAGGUGGCGAGGACGUCUUUCAUGUCGUCGGCCGUCUCCUGGAGCGCUGGCUGGCAGAGCAGCAGGAGGUCGUCGGGCAUGGGGUGCUUUGCUUUGAUGGCAGCAACGGCGAGAGCGAACUGGGCUCGUUCGCGGAGGAGGUCUGGGUGGCGGCCGACGGUGGCCUGAUCAACGGCCCCUUCGACGGCGGCCAACUGCUCGAGCUCGGCGAUCCGGAUGGCGACGAGGAGGUCCCCGCCGGAGAGGUGGAGGUAGAACCGAGCUUGGUCAUCGUUGAGGUACCGGAAGUACGUGUGCAUGAAGGCGCGGAGGCCAUUGUAAGAUCUGAAGGCGAUGGACCCCCAGUUGCUCACAUGCCGAGGAUCCGGCGGUGGCGGGAAGCGGUCCUCCUCCGGCGGCGAGUAGGCGCCGCUGCGGCGACGGCAGAGGAGGGUGAGGCCGUUGAGGAUGACGUUGGAGGCGGGGUCGAGGAGGCCGACGCAGUGCCCGCCGCGGUAGAGGCAGUCGAAGAGGUCUGGCAUCUCGUGGACGGGGAGCCGGCCAACGGCGUCGACGUAGGCGGCCUCGAUGGGGGCGCACGGGUCCGCCGCCCACCUGCCACGGACGAAGUCCGUCCACCUGUCGUCGCCGUGGAAGCACGAGAGGCGCACCAGCGGUGCGUCGUGGGCGUCGGCCAUCGGGCUCGGUUGCCGCCUGACGAAGUGGCGAACGAUGAACGCCGCCGCCUGAUGGAUCGUCGUUGGUUGAGAAACACUUGGAGGUAGCCAAGCCUACGUGCGCAACGAUGAACCUCCCUUGGCGCCAAGACCUGUGUAUGCGUGUAGUACAUAUAUGUAUGCAGCUGAUGCAGUACGUGGAGAGGGCCCGAUCCGACUCAGACUGGAAUCUGAGGAAGUCGGACGGGAAGCGAUCUGAGCCCGACGACUCCGACUCCAAAUAAGUUUCCAACGGCAAUCUAAAAUGAAGGAACUCACAACUAGAACCUCAUAGCGUCAAGGAUGCAUCUGCAGCACUGAAUUCAGGGGCCCACAUGCCAUAGAACGUCCCCCUAAGUCCAAGAUGUUAUCAGGUUUUCAAGCAGCCAAACUUUUUUAAGCCUACAUACAUGUUUCUACCCCCAGGCCCCGGCCAAAACGGAUAAAAGGCCAACCAAAUUCAGGGCACCCAAGCACCAUUACAGCAAAGCAGUAAACUGCGGACUCAACCAAAAGGCCACGCGAGGGAGGGAGGAGAAGACGCCACAGCUAGAAUCCGACGCCAUGGAUUUCGUUGCCCCAUCCCUUCCUUCCAUCAACUACUACAGCGAAGCUACUCCAUGAUCUGCAUCGCCAACGGGCUGCCGCCCGAGAUGAAUGAAUCCAUGGUUCUAGUGCCAGGGUGACCUUAAGUUCUUGAGUAGUAGAAUAGAUCCCUCAACACUCCACCAGGUAGCCCCCCACCAUCAGAUGCCAAACCUGUUUCAGAGAGAUUCAGGUUUUUCAAUCAGAAACUAGAGAUUGUUUAAGCGCAAGAACUUCUCAUUGCAUAAACCAGCAAUGAGCAGCAGGUGUUUUACAAUCAACAAUGGCAACUUUAAAUUUACUUGCUUAACAUCAUCCCAAACUGUCCUGACAACAAUGCACUCAAGCAACAGAGGACAUAUUGAUUCAAUUUCAGUACAGUGGAUGCACUAACGAGGUUUAGCCAUAAUGUCAUAUGCCAUUACUUUAUGUUGGGAUAGAGGCCACAAAAACCCCUUGGAUUUUGGGUGGCACCUUCACAUGCCACACAACAGGAAGAAAGAUAGGCUGGGCAUCUCUAAAAUUAACAAUGCCACACAAAGGCUACACCCCCUUAGAUUCAUACUGCCAUAAUUGAAGAGUCUUCCUGUUCCAAGUAAACCAGACUUGGCUAUUGACUCAGGAUCAUACCACAGACUCAAAGCCAUACUGAAAAGGUUAUCAGAAAGGUACCCUCCGAUCCAUAUUAAUUGUCGCUGAUUUAGUAGGAGUACUACAUCUUAACUGUAUCCCAUCCCAGAGAUCAAACACACUUUUGUUCUUUUCAUUAACUAAACACUACAGGUCCCCAAACUGUGUAGCUAAUGGGGAAUUUCCAAACCAUAUAUCUUCCCAAAAACAAGCAGUUUUACAAUUUCCUAAAUGCCAUCGACAGGGGAAUCACUAUUCUUCAUUCACUGACGGCCCUUCAACUUGUGGGUGACUGAAUAUGUUUUUUAGCAAGACUUGAGCAAGAAAAAAAAUACUCCAAUAGACAGAAGAUGUUGUAUUUACUUUCCUAAUCUCGGAGCUAACCAUCAUCCAUCACACCAAGCUGUCCUCUCCCACCCCAUGAAGAAAGAAGAAAGAAAGCUUAAACCUCAAAAGCUACCUCCUUAGCUACAGAAAUUUGGUCCACAACACCAGACCGAAGAAUGUGCAGAGAAAUAACCUGUAGUUUCCACAUCAUUCGUCGAUGUCCUGGACCCACUGCAGACCUUCUAACACCGACUCCACUGCUGUGUUUGGAAUGACAAGCCCAACAAUCCGAUGGUUGUCAUCUGUUGUCUGCAGGCGGACGACACGUAUCCUCUUGUGAGCCUGUCGGGCCUGCUUAUUCAGGGCCUUUUCUACCGCGCCCCACACAGGAAGUAUUAGACCACCCAAAACAUUAAUCUCCUGUAACCUUCUGCCCACAGUACAAUCGCUUCCAAGUCUGCACUUGGGCCCAUGCAUGCACUGCUUGGACGACACAUCAUAUUCUUCCUGCCAGCCCUCCCCAGUUUUAUCAGCCGAUGAGACCUUCUUGUACUUCCCUUCUAGUUCAGCCAAAGGCAUCUCCUUUGAAGCUUCCCCAACGGCAGGGCGAGUUACUCUGUACAUUCCUUCCGCUGAGCCUUCAAACGCUAGCAUGAAAUGCCUUCUGCCCAUCCACUCUCUCCGGGACUCGUAAAACCCAUCAUUACAAGAACAUGCACCAUCUUUCUGCCUUUCUUCAAGCAUUGCCUUGGCUGACUCCCAAGUAACUCCACGGUCAAUUGUAAGAGUGAACAACACCGUGGAAGCACCAGACAGGCUAUCAACGUGAACUGUCUUAGGCGGAUCUUUCAUUUCAACCCUUUUUGCUUUAAUAUCAACAAUACCAGAAUCAAGCCGUCCUUCACUUCGUGCAUUCUGAAUUACUAAGUCGAGUAUGCUUGUGAAGAGAUCAAAUAACCUAUUCUGGAUGUUUGGAGCUAAUCCCAGAAUACGGUUGAGGAAACGGGCCACAUCAUGCAUAUCAGAAUCAACGAUCCUACCAGUAAGCUUUCCUCCAUGUUUUCCAAUGCAGAUUACAGCAUCCCUGAUAAUUCCAACUGCCACUAAUGCAGCUUUUGAUCUAGUGAUGAAUUCUUGGAGACUAGAUUGAUUCUCAGAGCAUCCCAAAGGCACAACUGGAAAUGCAUCCUGUUCCAUUAUACCCCUAUACAUCAUUGUCAGGGCUUUUUUCCCAUAGGUCAUAGUUAAAAGCACUAAGUGAUGGUCCAGCUCUUCGAUCUCCUUGUGUUAAAGCUCCAAGAGACUCUAGUCGCUUUGCCACAAUUGAUGCAAAUCGCUUUUCACCACCAAGGUUGGUAAAAAGAAUCCUAUAUACAGGUGCAGAAGUUUGAUUAGAACGAUGUGUUCUCCCAAACUGCUGGGUUGCACGGUCUGCACUCCAAGGAAGUUCAAGUGUUAUGUGUACUCUUCUUCUCUGAUUUUUUACCCUUCGAUCAGCAUGUAAGGAAACACCAGCUGAUCCUGCUUCCGAUAUUAUUGCGAUGAACUUUUCUCCGUCCAUGAAUAGCUGCUUUUCAUGCAUAUUGAUCAUGUCCAAUGCAACUUCUUUCGUGUUCCGCGCCUGGUAAACAACACCUUUUCCAUCUGAUGCUCUUAUUAGCAUGCCACGCCUUCCAGUUAUUUCUGCAACAUUGUCUGGACCACCUAGCUGAUCAAUGAUAUCAUCUAGAGGAUUAUUAGGCAAAUCUAAAGCGCGGAUGAUUUCUAAAAUCUUUGACUUCCUGUCCACUGCAUUGUCAUAUCUCUUUGAUAGUUCAGCCAUGUAAGCAUCUCUCUCUUUAAAAUAGGCUUCUAUUAUCUCCUUGCAUGCAUAACAUAACCAAUCAUCUGCCAACGUUCCAGUCCAUGGUGGAAUUGGACAGCCAGGGUGAACACUUGUAGCACAAUUGGAACAAUGAAGCAACAGGCUCUUCUCCUCCUCGGUCUUGCAGAUCUGACACAUAUGCAAUUCCUCUUCAGAAUCUGUUAAUUCAUGGUCUGACUCCAAUGGAGAGUGUGUAUCCAUUCCAUCAUCACUAUCUUCCAUUUUUGCGAGUUUCCUAACUCGUCCUUUUAAGGAUACAUCGGGUCCAUAAUGCCGCUUACGCUGGACCUCCGUAACCUUUUCUUCACCUUGCUGAGAACAAUCAGGUUUUGGAGGCAAGGGAUAGUUAUCUUCUACCAGCUUAAGAAGCAACUCUCUAGGGCCAGAAAUAAAGUCCUCCAUUUCAACACCAUAUUUUGUGAUAGCUUCCUCUGUUCGAGCUUCACCAGUGCUCUGGAGACCAACCACCACACAUCUUUCUUCUGCUAAGGCUUCCUUCACCAACCUCACAACAGCAGGUACCUUUGCAGACAUACACAUAUGCCUAAAGAAACGCUGAUGGCUGGCCCAGUAUAACCGCCAUAUCUGAGCUGAAUUGCCCUUGUCUUCUGCAUAGUACUCGCUUGCCGAUAGGAGCUCAACACGCAACUCAGCCCAAAAUUCAGCUGCCUUUCUGUACAUAUUCAUCAUUCUGUCCUCCAGAGGUGCCUCCACAACAUCAAAAUCAACACCCUUAUAACUAAGUGUGCGGCAAACAUACAUGCCCCUAGCUUUCAUGUCCAUAGCAACAAGUUCAAGGGCACCCACACCACCUUUCUCAAGAGCACCUAGAAAUUGAUGAAAACUCUGAAAUGAUGUUCCGUCCCCCCAGAGACCAAGCCGGACCAUGUACCCUAAAUUCCGAGGCUCUGAUGCACCAGUUGCUGAGCAGUAAACCACCCGAGCUUCAGGUAACAUUUCCUGGAUCUCAAGAACUGAUUUACCAGUGCGAGUGGGCUGACCUCCUGCCUCAGGAAUCAAAUUUUUAGCCUUGUGGCACUCAUCAAACACCACAAGACCAUCGAACUCUGAUCCACACCACUCUACCAGCUGCCGCAAACGUGAAUACCCUUUCUCAGAGGAUGCUAUUAAACUGCUAUAAGUUAUGAAAACAACUCCGUCUGUGAUCCCAGUGGCCUUCGAGUCUAACUUAGAAUAUGGCAGCUUGUUCAAUGCGUGCACUUGCACACAUUUUGCACCAACAUCAUCCAAAUCUCUGCGGGCAUCAUAUUUCAAGUCUGAACCAAUGGAAAUCCACAACGCCUUAUGCCUCCCCUGCUGCCAAUUCUCCCAGAUCAGCCCAGCAAUUGUACGCCCUUUACCAACACCGGCUCCAUCACCAAUGAAGAAACCUGCUCUAGCACCAGUAGGGAGAUGGUGAAGAUGCCUCUGACAAGCAUACACUAUUGUCUCAAUCUGUAAGCAUGACAAUGCCCUGGUCUCAUCCAAUUCAUCCAUAAUAGCCAGGUUGUAAGUAGGUUCAGGAGGUUGCACCGCUGAUAAAGAUGAAGUCUCUACCACAGGGUCCGGAUGAGGAAGACCAAGAGAUAGCUUAGGAGGCCUAUAGUCCAUGAAAGUUUCACCAACAGUGUCACCUUCCUCUUCCUCGCGCUCAACGUCAAACGCAACCUCGUUGAUCUCCUCCGGCGGCUCGGGGGGCGGGGCCAUUGGGGCCAUCGGCAUGCGCGGUGGCGGCAUCAUCGGCAGGAAGGGCAUGUGCGGCAUUGGGACUGGGGGCGCGGGCGGAGGCGGUGGAGGAACGAAGCCCGGCCCAGGGGCGGCGGCGGCAAGGAAAUGCUGGAGCUUGGAGAUGUCGACGGCGAGGUCGACGUCGCACUGCGGGCAGCGGAAGCGGGCGAGGCCGUGCGGCACGUUGAGGAUAGCCUUGCAGCGCGCGCAGGGCAGCUGGAUCUUGGUGGGGUCCACGCCCUGCGCCCGCGGCCCGGAGCGGCGGGAGGCAGCAGGGAGAGGCGGAGGGGGAGGCGCGGGCUGAGAGUGAGGCUGAGGAGGAAGGGGAGGUGGCUGGGGCGGAGGCGGUGUAGGGGACGCCUUGGGCGGGGAGGAGGAGGGCAUGAGCUCGGGGGGAAGGCGCUGCGCCAUGCGGCAUUUGGGGCAGAUGAACUCGGUCAUGCCGGGGGCCACGGCGAGGACGCCGCGGCAGCCGGCGCAGCGCACCUGGACGGCCGCGGGGGCGGCCGCCGCCGGGGAAGGGGAAGCGCCGCCGGCGGCCAUCGCAGGAAGGGGAAGAAGAUUUCGGCCGUGGAGGGUUUUUUAUUUUUGCUCGCAGGAGGGUUUGGUGAAAGAAAAUGGGGCCGUGGAGCUCGGGCCUCCCACUCAACCCUGGCCAUACGGGUCGGUCUGCGAGCAUGAAUUUUUGUUCCGACACAUGCGAGUGUAGAAAAAAGUCAAGGCGACUAAUAGGCGCCGGUGCAUUCCCUCAAAAAAAAAAGGCGUCGGUGCAUCGGUCCAAAGUUUCGGCCGGACGCCCGUACGCCAUCAGAUGUCAGUUGUCUUAUUCGUCGGAUCUAAAAAAAGGGAUUCAUCCCCAAAAGCUCCUUCCUCGCGCAACACCCGUCCCGCUUUCCGCAUAUAUCCCACGGCACCCGCAUCUCAUGCAGCUCGUCAAUUGCGCGCACUGCACUCUCCCGCUGCUCCCCGGUCGCAGCACCAUGCCGCCCCCUACCGCUCUGUGCUAGAUCUCGUCGCUGGGAUUCACGGCAACUUCCCGGUGGCCGCAGCCCUGGUCUUCAUCCUCGUCGCCAUUCUCCUGCUGAAGCUUUUAAAAAAGCUGGUUGUAGCAAACGAGUAGGCCUCAUCCAGCAAAAAAUUGAAAACAACAAAAAAUCUCCACUUACUUGAUUGAAGCAGAAAAAAUGUCGGCUCCAGCAAAAUCGAAAUACGGUGGUAGCAAUUUUUGGGUUGGUUCCAGCAAAAACAAAAACAAAACAAGGUCGUAGCAAAAAUCCUGAUGCUUCCAGCAAAAAAGAUGGCUGGUUGAAGCAAAAUUUCUCACUUGCGGUCCAGCAAAAAGAAGAAGAAAAAGCUUAUGUACUCGCAUCCAUGGAAAUCGCUGGUUCCAGCAAAAUGCUUAAUGGUUCCAGCAAAAACAGUGGUUGGUUGAAGCAAAAAAAACCUGCCGGAGGCCGCAGCUACUUGUUCCAACAUUUUGCUGCCAUGGUUGUAGCACUUCCUGUUGCCGGUUCCAGCAAAAAAGCUGGCCGGUUCCAACAUCGUCGGCAUCGACGCCGCACGCCGCCCAACCUGUCGCAGCUCUUUCAACGCCGCGUUUCACAUCUUUUCCGGUGACCUGUCGCCGCCCAUAGCUUAGCCUCGUCGGAGUGUGCAGCGCGACGCCGGAGGCCAGGGCCGGCGCACGGCGCGUGGGCGGGUGCACGGCGAGGGCCCCGCCUCGGGCGCGCGGCUCCCCGUCGUGGCUGGUUGCAGAAUACUGGCCCAUCCGCCUUCGAGGCCGGCGACCUCGCCUGCCGGCAUGGCUAGAGGAGAUGGUGCGGUGGAGGGCUCUCACCGAAGAGGGAAUGGAGGAAGGGAACGGAAAGGGAGGGGGUCGAUAGAGGAUGGAGAUGCACUGCAUUUGGGGAUAAGAAGAAAAAGUAGUGAAGGAGAUAAGGUUUCUGGGCCCGCACUGGACACUCGCGAGGAAGGAGACCGGCUGAGCGCUUGGUCGGUCGUCCGUUCCCAAAAGUUUCCCUAAAGUCAAUGGUUGGCUGAAAAAACUUAUAUCCUCAAGAGGAAAGGAAGUCUUGAUAAAAUCUGUGACUUAGGCCCUCCCUGUCUAUUCCAUAUCUUGUUUUAAACUACCACGAGGCUUAUGUGAGCAUAUCAACACCCUAAUACGUAAGUUCUGGUGGGGAAGCAAAGAGGGACAAAGGAAGCCCAAUUGGGUUUCAUGGAGCACUAUGACAUGACCGAAGCAUUGUGUAGGGCUAGGCUUCCGUGGUAUAAAACUUUUCAACCUAGCUCUUCUUGCAAGGCAGGUGUGGAGGUUGUUGAUGGACCAGGAGUCACUGAGUGCUCGAGCGUUGAAAGCAAAAUACCAUGGCAAUGUUGAGUUCUUGAACACCGAGUUGGGGACGGUGCCAUCUCAGAUUUGGAGAGCCAUUCUAGAAGGUUGUGAUGUCCUUGUCCAAGGUUUGAUUCACCGCAUUGGGACUGGAGAAAGUACCAGGAUCUGGCAACAAAACUGGCUACCAAGAGCUCACAGUAUGAGGCCGAUUGUUAGUAGAAUCCAAAAGCCGACAUCCGGGGUUGCUGAACUCAUACUCCCAGGAGCAGAAUGGAGUAGAACUUUGAUCGAGGAAGUGUUUUUGCCCACAAAUGCACGGGCCAUUUACACGGUCCCGUUGUGCACAAGAUAUAUUGAGGAUUUUUCGGACUGGAUACACGAGAAGAAUGGAGUCUUCUCUGUUUGGUCGGCAUAUCGUAUGCUCGUAGACACAAAGAUGAGGAGGGAGGCCUGGCUCGAGAGCCGGGCUGACGUUUCAAACAAUGGAGGCGAGCAGAGAGCCUGGUCAAAGCUGUGGAAAGUGCAUGUCCCCUCAAAGGUUAAGAUCUUCUUAUGGAGACUAGCUCAAAACUCCAUGCCUACUGCUGAUUUGUUAUAUGACAGAAAUAUGUCGACAACUACCUCGUGCAAGCUGUGUGGGCGGAGGCCUCUUGGCAACACUCACUUCUACAUUACAGCGUAGCAAGAUGUGUUUGGGCUCUACAGGACCUUGAUCUUUUCGAAGCUCUCAAUAACACCCAUGACCCGGAUGCAAAGAGAUGGAUCUUUGCACUCAUAGAGAUGCCACCCCCCUCCGAAUUCACCCAGGUUUUGGUGACUUUAUGGGCCAUCUAGUAUGCUAGAAGGCAAGCCACUCAUGAGAAUGUUUUUCAAAGUCCUAUGUCGACACACAAUUUCAUCAUGAAGUACCUCCAUGAGUUACAAGACAACAAACCAGCACAGCCACCUCGACAGGUUGCUGCUGGGCCACCUCACAACCGGAUAUGAUGGAUUCCUCCUACGCCGGGGGUGGCCAAACUAAGAGUUGAUGGUGCAGUUGCUAGAGACUUAAAUGAAGGGUCACUUAGUGCUGUCUGCAGAAACUCCGAGGGCAUGUUUUCGGGAGUUUCAUGCUUGAAGUACAGAGGGAUGAACGAUCCCGCUACUCUGGAGGCAUUGGCUUGCCGUGAAGCCUUGGCGCUGGCAGUAGAUCUCCAAUUGGCUAGAGUGGUGAUUUCAUCUGACUGCCAAGGUGUAGUACGAUAUAUUCAGAACCAAACGGGAGGUAUGUAUGCACCGAUAGUAAAGGAGAUCAAUGAGACAGCUACAAACUUCCAGCGGUGCUCCUUCAUCUUUGAAGGAUGAGAGUCUAAUGUCGAGGCACACUGUCGGGGGGAUGAACCCCGGGCAGGCAAUGGAACCCGGAUCCCUUUCAAAAACAACGGGGCCAGCAUCGCCCCUCAAGUCGGCCCGCGCUUGGCCAGGUCGCUCAACCCGGCCAAGCCCCUCGACCCAGCCGAACUCUCCGACCUGGCCAGACUCCUCGACUCGGCCCUAACCACCAGCUCAAGGCGGCCGAACCCAGCACACCAAGACUUCCCCAACAAGCCAGCUCCACCCUUGGCGUGUUCCCCAACCCAGCCACGGGUCAGCUCCCGUCCCAUCUAGGCCGUACGAUGGGACGAGUCUUCAUCCACCGAUGACCGAGGCAACAGUGCCCCGCCCAUGCCUCUGGUCAGCCGGAGCGUGGCAACAGUGCCCCUCACCUACCCGCUGACCAGGGCCGGCGUGGCAACAGUGCCCCCAUCAUCACCAUUGACACCAGCAAGCGGCGACCUGACAGAGCGCCACUGUACCCGACUUGACUCGGCCACUCCCUGAUGAUCGACAAGACGACGCACAGUUCCCCUAGGCAUGCAGGGCCCACACCUAGGGGAACCCGGCGAACCACAAGCACCCAGCGGGUCCCAGCCCCGGGUCCCCAAACGCUGACGACCCGGCCCUACGGCCUUGUAGCAUUACCAUUGUACCCCUAGGGGUUGGUCUAUAAAACCCCCCAGGAGCCCUCAUGCAUACGGGCAAGCAGCAAGCACACAGGAAAUAGCCAACCGAUCAGUAGAACACACCUAGGGAGAUGGGGCAGCCUAAGCCUCGGCCAGUCUUCCUUCUCCCUUCACACAGCUCUAGGAGCAACCCUGUACUAUUGCAUAUCAACCACCCUCGGCAGGACUAGGGGUAUUAUCUCUGCGGAGAGCCCGAACCUGGGUAUGUCUUGCGUCCCGCGCUCGCUCAUGCCGACCUCGCCUCUGAAGCCCACCAGAGCCCUCGAGCCUCCUCCUCUCUUUAGCCAUCCCAUGGCAUCUGCCGUGCGCCCACCACGACAGUUGGCGCCCACCGUGGGGCAGCUCGAGGUCCUGGCUGGGAGCAUGCUUCAUACGGGGCUCCUCUCCGACUCCGACGAGCCUGUCACACUAGCGGACAACGUCAUCGACGCGCUCGCCGCCUGCUUCGUCGCACUGCGCAUCUCCGAUGCAUCCGCGGCCGAUGAGUACCCCAACGAGGUACUUAACUUCUCCGACUCUCCCCUCUCCCUCAGCGGCAGCGUUCCUACCGGGGUAAUGGACGUCCACGUGGAGUUCGUCACCGGCACCAACGCCUGCUCCUCGUCGAGAGCAACGAGGAAGGCCGCCAAAGGCAAGGCCACAGCGGAGUGGGCCUCCUUGUCCAACCCGUUGCGUGCUGCGAUGCAGAGCCUCCUCGUCCCCAUCGGCACCGACAUCGACGCCUCCAACGUUGCUGAGGACCGGGCCCAGCUCGAGGAAAGAGGCCAGCACCUGCUGGACUGGACCGAGACACUCGUCGCCACGCAGCAUCGCUUGGAUUCCGCUCAACAUGAGCGCAACGCCGCCUAUGGCUUCACGCCUACCGCGGCUGAGCCGAGCCGGGUCGCCGACGUGCGAGCCCGGGGCGACGCGAUCGUCCAGGCCUUCGGCGCCAUCCCGACCGUCUACGAGACUCUCGCGAAGAACAUGCGCACCGCCCAGGCGGCCGCGAUCGGCCUGGACCAGCUCAUAGGUGAGGAGCUGAAGGAGCGCAUCAAGCGGAUGAACGACCUCCUCGAUGCGACCAACACACAACAAUACCGCCUCAACCAACUCGCCAAGCCGGCGGGAUCCGGCUCCGCCCGCGCUGCCGGUCCCGGCGAUCAUCAGCACACGGUGUCCUCACCCCCGGGCGAGGCGCACUCCGGCCGCACCCGGACUCGGCGUGACCCGGCCCUGACGGCCGCCGGUGGCCUAGCUGACGAGCCGGCCCCGGAAAACCGAUGCGGACCCGACCAUCCCGGUCGGCGUCCGGCUCCAACCGACCCGACCCCUCGUGGCCCGGUCGCCAGCCGACUCGGUGCAAGUGCCAUCGACGACACCGACGCUCGCCACCGCCUCGACCGGCUCACCUUCUCCCUGGAGGUGGAGGAGAGCGGCGCUGUGGGGCGGGCGUGCUUCGGCCCACGCAUCCAGGAGGAGCCCUUUCCGGAAGGGUUCACGCUCCCCGCGACACCCCCAAGUACAACAGAACCAUGAAGCCGGAGGACUGGCUCACUGCUACCUCUUGAGCAUGCGUUGGUUUUCCCUUGAAGAGGAAAGGGUGAUGCAGCAAAGUAGCAUAAGUAUUUCCCUCAGUUUUGAGAACCAAGGUAUCAAUCCAGUAGGAGGCUACACUCAAAUCCCUCGUACCUGCACAAACAAAUAAGAACCUUGCAACCAACACGAUAAAGGGGUUGUCAAUCCCUUCACGGCCACUUGCAAAAGUGAGAUCUGAUAGAGAUAAUAAUAAGAUAAAUAUUUUUGGUAUUUUUAUGAUAUAGAUUGGAAAGUAAAGAUUGCAAAAUAAAAUAGAUCGGAAACUUAUAUGAUGGAAAAUAGACCCCGGGGGCAUAGAUUUCACUAGUGGCUUCUCUCAAGAUAGCAUAAGUAUUACGGUCGGUGAACAAAUUACUGUCGAGCAAUUGAUAGGAAAGUGCAUAGUUAUGAGAAUAUCUAGGCAUGAUCAUGUAUAUAGGCAUCACGUCCGCGACAAGUAGAUCGAAACAAUUCUGCAUCUACUACUAUUACUCCACACAUCGACUGCUAUCCAGCAUGCAUCUAGAGUAUUAAGUUCACAAGAACAGAGUAACACGUUAGGCAAGAUGACAUGCUGUAGAGGGAUAAACCGAAGCAAUAUGAUAUAAACCCCAUCUUUUUAUCUUCAAUGGCAACAAUACAAUAUGUGCCUUGCUGUCCCUGUUGUCACUGGGAAAGGACACCGCAAGAUUGAACCCAAAGCUAAGCACUUCUCCCAUUGCAAGAAAGAUCAAUCUAGUAGGCCAAACCAAACUGAUAAUUCGAAGAGACUUGCAAAGAUAACCAAUCAUACAUAAAAGAAUUCAGAGGAGAUUCAAAUAUUGUUCAUCUAUAAUCUUGAUCAUAAACCCACAAUUCAUUGGAUCUGGACAAACACACUAUAAAACAAAUUACAUCAAAUAGAUCUCCAAGAAGAUCAAGGAGAACUUUGUAUUGAGAUCAAAGAGAGAGAAGAAGUCAUCAAGCUAAUAACUAUGGACCCGAAGGUCUAUGACAAACUACUCACACUUCAUCGGAGAGGCUAUGGUCCCUACCAAAAAAAGACACAUCCAUGACAUUUUGGGCCGAACGAAAUUUUUUUCUGUCAUACAUAUGACACUUCUAUGACGAUAAUUGUGACAAAACCCGGUAUCAUCAUAGAUGUGGUGGGCUCCUACUUCUAUGAAAAAAAUCAUGACAGAAAAUGGGCUUUUCGUCCUGGGCGGACCGGAGACGCAGCUGCAUGGCAUUCUUUGGGCCGUCCAUGACGGAAAAAACCAUGGUAGAAGCGAGGGCGAGGAAAAUUUCGAGGAGUUCCCGGUUACGGUGGGUGGUCGGGGGCCGAGCGAUGCGCGUUUCUCUCGUACACGUACGCGCGUGUGUGCGAGGCGUUGGCUCUAACUGAACCCAAGCGAGGCAUUGGGCUCUAACUGAACCUGAGCGAUUGCACUGCAGGCUACGCGUUACUGAACCCGAGCGAUCGAUCGAUGGCUGUUAACUGAACCCGAUCAAGUGAUUCCUUUGCUACUGCUGCUAACUGAAGCCGAUCGAUGCCGCCUCUCUGGAUGAACAGUGAGUGUUACGCGGGGGGUGGAUGAACAUUGAGCGGUGGGAGUGGAUGAACAGGACCCGUGGUGUUGCCUCUGGAUGUAUAGGACCCCGAUCGAUCGAGCCGGUUGGGGCUGCAUGAACAGGACCCCGUGGAGGGCUGGAUGAACAGGACGACCCCGUGUAGGGCUGGAUGAACAGUAGACGGUGGAGGGGUGGUUGAACAGGAGCCCGUGGAGAGGGGUGGUUGAAUAGUAGCCGGUGGAGUAGCACGCGGUGGAGGCUGGAUAAACAGGAGCCCGUGGAUGAACAGUCGCAGGUGGAGGCUGGAGGAGGUCGACGGUGGAUGAACAGUAGCCCGUGGAGGCUGGAGGAGGUCGACGGUGGAGAUGAACAGUAUCCCGUGGAGUCCCAUUUUGCGGUACGCCACACCCCUCCCGAUGAACAGGACCCCUGUUUCGACCAUAGCGCUCCAACACAAGUCCAUUUCGUCCGUUUUGCGGUACGCCACACCCCUCCCGAUCAACAAGAUCCCCGUUUCGACCAUAGGAGGUCCGUUUCCUCCGUUUUGCGGUACGCCAGACCCCUCCCGAUGAACAAGAUCCCGUUUUGAACGUGGCCGGUCGAACACAAGGCCGUUUCCUCCGUUCUGUGGUACGCAAGGCCACACGACCACGCAUUCCGUUCUGACCCAGCCGGUUGGCUCCCCAUGAACACGACGACGACGUUGUUUCUCCGUUCCGACCUAGCCAUGUACACGAGCCCUGGCCAUACGUAUGCGCGAGUAGGCGUUCGAGACCCCACCCGUAUGUACACAUACGUGGCCGUAUUUUCUUUCUUGCAAAUUUGCCGAUGUGCGUACGUGUACAUGCUACGUGCGCGCCUCUACUAUGACACGUGCGCGCCUCUACUACGCCACGUGCGCGCCUCUACAUCGACCAGUAUAUAUGUACGUACACGUUCACGACCAGAAUGACAACGCUACGUACGCUUCGACCAGGUGGGCCCCGACUGUCAUGCACUUCCUUGCGUGCAAAGAUGUACCUGGUGGGUCCCAGCAGUCAGGGGGGCGAAUCUUUUUUUUUGCCCGGAUGCUCUUCCUUGCGUGCGAAGGUGUAGCUGGUGGGUCCCAGCAGUCAGGGGGCGAAUCGUUUUGUGUUUUUUUGCCCGGACGCACUUCCUUAUGUGCGAAGGUGUAGCUGGUGGGCCCCAGCAGUCAGGGAGAAAACAUUUUUUUUCAUGAAAUAGGUGCCCCGUCCGGUGGGUCCCCGCUGUCAGGUGGAGGAAUAAUUAUUUUGCGCAUAAUAAGGAGGCACUUCCUUGCUGCGGCGUGGACCCAGCUGUCAGCCUCUUCACAUACAGUCCACGUCCGAUGGAAGCCGUUCCUUGACCAUGUUGACCAUGGUGUGCCGAGAGCACCAGGGCAGUGGACGACGGCGAGGCCUAGGAAGGGGACGACGCGGAGCCGGGGAAGACGCGAUAGUGGAUGCCCACGCGUAGAGGAGUACGAGGGUUCACUGGUUCGCUGCGGUGUGAGGCUGCCGUCGCCGUAGAAUAACAGGGGGUGUGGGUGAGUAGAGGGAUGUCCUGGCCAGCGGUGGGAGUAGUAGGCGGCGGUGAGGACUCCGCCGCAUCGCAGUCGGCCACGGGAGGCAGGAGCACGGGGCACGAUCGGCGCUGGUUUGGGCGGCUGGAGCAAGAAGACUAGAGGUUGAAGAAGCACUACGGCCGUUGGAUGGACAUCGUACGGUCACUGGAGCUAGAAUCAUGCAUAUUGACUAAGUUGACAAAGCCCUCCGUCCCCGUCAGCUUAGUAGGCCCACAAGUCAGCCUGCCACUAUACCGAGUCCCAGCUAACAGGGGGAGUAUUCAUUUUUUGUGCGUAAUAAGGAGGCACUUCCUUGCGUGAAAAGAUAUAGCUGGUGGGUCCGAGCUGUCGGCGGCGGUAAUGUUUUUUUCGCAAAAUACAGAGGCCCUUCCGGUGGGUCCCUGAUGUCAGGUGGAGGAAUCAUUAUUUUGCACGUAAUAAGGAGGCAUUUCCUUGCGUGCGGUCGUGGACCCAGCCAUCGGACUCUCCACGUACAGUCCACUUCAGAUGCAUGUCGGUCGUUGACCACGUUGACCAGGACGCGCCGAGAGCACCAGGGCGGUCCACGACGGCGAGGCCUAGGAAGGAAACGACACGGAGGCAGGGAAGACUCGGCAGUUGUUUCCCACGCGAGGGGAGUACGACUGUACGAGGGUUUACUGGUUCGUCUGCCGUCGCCGGAGAAUAACAGCAGGUGUGGGUGAGUAGAGGGAUGGCUAGGCCAGCGAUGGGAGUACAAUGGGGCGGUGAGGCCUGCGCGGCAGCACAGCCGGCCGCGGGAAGGAGGGAGCAGGCAGUCUCGCCGGCGCUUGUUUGAGCGGCUGGAGCAGGAAGAGCAGAGAUUGAAGAAGCACAACGGUCGUUGGAUGGACAUCCAAUAGUCACUGCUUGUGCGUCAACCUUUUUUUAGGAAAGCCUCAAAUCUGUGGAAAACAGCAUACAACCCAUUUGCCAUUAUUUCUAAUAAUUUACAGACCAUUUGCUAAUUCUUAAGGUUUUUUUUGGAGCCCAUAUUCUUUUUGUUAGCAUUACAACCCAUAUUGUGGCCACGGUUAAAAAAUUAUACGAUUUUUGCAUAUUUCGGUGCGGUCCGAACUGUUUUUAAUCCCGAAAUUUUGACUCACAUUCAAACUGAUUUUUAAAAUAAAUGUAUAUCAAUAUAAAAUCCAACAAAUUCUCCAUGCAUAAAAAUUAAUGUAAUUUAAAAUCUCGAAAUGAAAAAAGAUAUUUGAAACUAAUUGCCGGUUUGAUGUGUUUUAAAAAUGUACAACCCAUUUCUCAUUACUGAUGGGCCAUUUUCUCGGCCAGCCAAAUGAAAGCUCUCCUCGUCUUGAAAGAUUUGUAGCCCAACAGGCUUGACAAAGCGACUUACUUGGCAAAUCACAAAAAAACUAGGUUGUGGUCGUGGACCCAGCUGUCAGCCUCUCCACAUACAGUACUCUUCUGAUGGAAGUCGUUCCUUGACCACGUUGACCACGCCGCACGGAGAGCACCACGGCGGUGGACGAUGGCGAGGCCUAGGAAGGGGACGACGCGGAGUCAGGGAAGACGCGACAGUGGAAGCAUGGGUGAGUGGAGGGAUGGCCUGGCCAGCGGCGGGAGUAGUGGGGGCGGUGAGGCCUCCGCGGCAUCACAGCCGGCCACGGGAGGCAGGAGUAGGCGGCACGAUCGGUGCUGCUUUGGGCGGCUGGAGCAAGAAGACCAGAGGUUGAAGAAGCAUGAUGGCCGUUGGAUGGACAUCGUACGGUCACUGCAGCUAGAAUCGUUCAUGUUAACUAAGUUGACAAAGCCCUUCAUCCCCGUCAACUUAGUGGGCCCACAAGUCAGCCUCCCACCAAGGUGGGUCCCAGCUAGGAGGGGGUAUUCAUUUUCUUCUUCUUAAUAAGGAGGCACUUCCGGUGGGUCCGAGAUGACAGCGGGGGAACGUUUUUUUCGUGAAAUACGGUGGCCCGUCAGGUGGGUCCUAGCAGUCAGGGGGCAAACAUUUUUUUCGCAAAAUAUGGUGGCCCAUCCAGUGGGUCCCUGCUGUCAGUUGGAGGAAUCAUUAUUUUCCGCGUAAUAAGGAGGCACUUACUUGUUGCGGCCGUGGACCCAGCUGUCAGACUCUCCACGUACAGUAUACUUCAGAUGGAAGUCGUUCCUUGACCACGUUGACCACGCCGUGUUCCGUUUCAUGCAGGCGUCCAUGGGCGUGGUGCGUCCCCACUGUCAGCCUCUCAUGUACAGUCAUCUUCCGAUGACUCUCGGUUGUUGACCAUGUUGAUCACACCGUGCCGAGCGCACCCAGACUGGAACGACCCGGAGAUGGGGAAGACGGGGCAGUGGAGUCGCAGAUGGUGAGGAGUGGGGAACUUCACUAGUUCGGGUGCGCGGCAGCACAGCCGCGGUGCCGCCCACGGGAGAUAGGAGCAAGAACAGAGGUUGAAGAAGGAGCACAGCUAUUGGAUUAACAUCCAACGGUCCAGCUGCUAGAAUCAUUUGUUGAUUAAGUUGACAAAGCCAUGCGUACACGUCCGCUUAGUAGGCCCACAAGUCAGCCACCAAAUCUGACGGGUCCUAGCUGUCAACGAGAUGAAUAUUUUUUUUCGCAAAACAAGGAGGCACUUCCUUCCGUGCAAAGAUAUAGCCAGUGGGUCCCAGCUGUCAGGUGGAGGAAACAUUUUUUCAGCUUAAUAAGGAGGAACUUUCCUUGUGUGCGACCAUGGACCUCGUGGGUCCCAGCCGUCAGGCUUUCCACACACAGUCCUCUUUCGAUGACUCUUGUUUGUUGACCACGCCGCAUAGAGCGCAGUGAGGCGGUGGACGACGGCAGUGGAGUCGCAGAUUGAGAGGAUGAGAAGGGUUAUAACUGGUUCUGUUGCGGCAUGGGGCUGUAGUCUGUGGAGAAUAACAGGAGGUGUCGAGGGGUGGAGGUAUAGCCUGGCCGGCGAUGGGGUAGCGCUUUGCAGCGAUGCGUGCUAAGCAGAGCCGCUAGCUGCCGAAGGCCAGACCAGGCGGUCCCAGCAACGCUGGAGGAAGAAGACGAGAGAUAGAAGGUGCAUGUCGGCCGUUGGAUAUAAAUCCAAUGUCUGUUGAUGACACAAUCAUUUGUUGACCAAGUUGACAAUGCCCUGCGUAGGCUUCGACCUAUUGGCCCACAUGUCAGCCUACAAAAAUGUGGCAUAUAUUUAACCCAUGUUUUCUAGAAUGUACAGUUCAUUUGCUGGGCUGGGUGAACAAAUAAUUUCACGUCAAUCAGGCCCAUUUAUAUUUUCUAAGAAAUCCCAACCCAUUUGCACUUCCUUGAAAUACACGUAUUAGGUGGGCUCGUUAUAUAUAUAAUUUUAUGUUAGAAGGAGCAAUUAAUAUCAAAGAAUAAACCGGAGAGGCACAUUUUUUUAUAUAUAUAAUUAAACAAAUUAGCGAGUUAUUGCUCAAAAUAAAAAUGAGCGCGUUAUUAUUAAAUUGGUCCUUAAAAUCUUCGCAAGCUUUUGUACGCAAUCACCAGGAUUAUCCUUGCGUGUUCCGUUUUGAAAAAAUGAUUUUCCUUGCCUGUGAGUCAAAAACGAAAGGAGGCCUCUGUUGGAGUAACUACUGUAGCUAGCAGUACUGCUGGUAUAGUAGUUUUCUUCAAGAAGCGGAAUUCAACGAAGUCAUGAUGGUUCCUUCGUCCGAGCAACUUCAAAGUGGGAAGCGGGCCUGUGAUUUGACGGCUCAUUAGUCAUUGUUACUGUGGCGUGUUCGGCUCUUGUAACAACUCUAUCUUCUCCUUAUUUAAUAUAUGGGGCAAAUCUUUUGCCUUCAUUUCAAAAAAAUUGUUACUGUGGCGUGACGACCUGGGUGACUCUACCUUGGAGUUUUGAGUGCAUGGCAAGUGGACCAGGAUGGUCGACGUCCCACAUAUUGGCGAACGGAAGUAUUCUUUCCAAUAUCGAGGAGCAAGGAAACCGUGUGGUAUAGUAUCACUGCCGAUUGGUUCGCAAAAAAUAGUAUCACUGCUGAUUUAUAAUUAUUUUUUAUUUCUGAUGAAUGCUAGCGUUUCAACUCUUACGACGAAGGGUGCCAAACACGGAACAUGCUGGAUGUCCCACACGUCAGCGAAAGGAGUGGGACAUGAACAACGUGGUAGAGCCCAACGUAAAAAAACAGCGUGGUAGAGCGUCUCCACUUCUUCCACUUCUGGGUCGGAGACCACACGCAGUAGUACUUAGUGGUAUGAACAAUACAAAGUGCGACCUGAAGAGAAAGACACGUCUAGUUGGAAGGUCUCGGGGCAUACACGUAAACAAAUAUAAAAGUUAAUAUGUGCCUCCACUAAUAUAGUAGUAGUAGAGUACUUAGGCACGUACUCCAUGACAUCACCGUGCAUUGCACGUACAACAUUUAGUGGUAGUACGUAGUAAGAGACAAAUGCCACCCAAGAGUUCCCUUCUCGACCCACUUUUGGGUGUUUGGUAGAGUGUACGGAGGGUGCAUGAGUCCACACUAGUUUAGCACAAAUACACUAGAAGCAUGCAUGAAGAGAGCAUGCAUGAGGAGGGGUAUUGAGUUGAGCAUGCAUGAAGAGGGAACAACUAUGCUGAGACGAGAACACAACCAAAUACACCCUAUAUGACACGCAUGUUCAUACCAUUUGUGCCUUUCUACUUCACUUACUACGCUACAUUACUCAGGUUCGUACGUCCACUCCUAGGUACACGUCCGUCUCGUAGUUCCAGUCCCACGUGUUCUUCAUAUAGAUGGAACGAUCCCUGCAUAACACGUGCACCUUGAUGCUAGAUGUCUUGUGUGUUGGCAAAAGGAUGAACAAAGCUCACGUAAAAAAAAUAGAGUGGAAGAACAUAGAUUCCGGACGACCGAGAAGGAGCAAGGAACCUCGUGGUGGAGCGUCUGCACUCAUAAUAUUUAAUAUUAUUCAGCGAUAUAAAAUUAACCAAUCAUUUCCACAGUGGACUGGAAGAGUACGAAACACGACAGCCCAGUGUAGUUAAAUCAUACUAGUACAUGGCUAACCCAUGCUAUCACCAUAUUUCUUGGCUUUCGUGCGAAACCUAUCUCUAGUAAUCCAGCAGCAUGUAUCGCUUCUCCCUCCUCGUCUCUAUCAAAGUGCGGCGGGCUGGCGUUUUUGCCAUCUAUUGAGGUCGGCUAACUCAUCACAUGUUAGCGACAUGCCAAGAGCAUUCAAAAAAAAAUUCCUUUCACGUUCCGUUUUCAAAAAUAAAAAAUCCUUUCAUGUACGAAUUUGCCUGUAUGCUUUGAGCAACUUGCAUGUCCUAUACUGCUCCUGUUUGAUACUCUAACUUAGCUAGAGGUUAGACUAACUCAUGACUAACCCUGAACUAACUGUAGCCAAAGAGGUGUUUGGGUGACUGGGUUAGAUUGACAAUAAAUGCACUUGAUGGAGAGAGAAAAGUGAUUUUUCAGUGGUCCCAAUGAGAACUAUCUCCAGUUAGCACCUCUUGGGUGGAAUAGUUUUUUUUGGUGGGUUCGAUGCAACUUGCUCCAAUUUAAACCCUCAUGCUUGGAUACUUUUGGGCUAUUUGAGCCCCAACUAGCUCAAACUAACUCUAACCCAUGGAUCCAAAUAGGGCCUAUGGCCAGUCUCGACGCGGAGCAGUCGCGUGCACCGGGAAGCGACGCUCUCUCGGCCGUCGCACCACUUCAAAGCCGGCGCCAGUGAGAGGUCGCCUUCGCUCUGGCCAGGCAUUAAUGCGGCACUGACGCUCCAGGGCGACACUGACCGUUUCACGCGGGAAGCGCGCGCUGGCAAGGGAGUAUAGGUUUUGAACCGUUUCAGGUGUAGUACUGGUAGUUUGCAAAACCACUCAAUUAUAUCACUCAGUUUCCUAAGAAAUUGUGGUAAAAAACGUUACUCCACAGCCCGCUUCCCUUCUCCUUCCUCUUCCACCGCCCACGCACAUCCGCGGGAAGCGACCGGUCAACCCUUAUAUAGGAGUGCUAGCACAAAAAGAUGCAUGCAUGACCACUAAAAUUUCCAUAUUAAAGCGUCGCUCCGGCGGGAGUAUGGCGUAUGUUGUUACCUUCGGCCAUGGCUACCGGGUGACGGCGACCACAGAAGAGGCGGUGGGAGGGGAAUGAAUGCAGCUACUAUUUGGGUUCGCCUUCCGGCUUAAAUAAAUGCGCAUCAUCACAUGUACCCGCGGGUGCACAAAUUGUAUCAUACGUGUCUGCUUAAGUGGGCGUCACAUAACUGGUGUGUGUGUGUGUGUGUGAGAGAGAGAGACUCUGAGAGACAGAGUGCAUGUGUGCGACUCUACUCUUCGGACAUGUACUCAACCUUUUGCAUCGGGAUAUAAGUAUAAUGGUAUUUACUUUAGCUAGUGAUUUACGUGGCCAUGUUAACGUGGUUGUGUCAAAAAAAUGUCACUUCCUGCUCGUGAUUUGCAUUAUAUAAUUACAAGCAAGAUUCUCAUGCAUUGCACGGAACAUCAAUAUGCAUUUUUUUUUACAAAACACCUGUUGUGAUUGACCCAUGCAGGAGUAAUCCCAUGUGUAAAAACUAAUGAUAUCUCAAGAAUUUUAUCGGAAAACUGGUAUCUCGAGAAUGUCAUCGAAAAAAUGAAAGAUGAGAGAUAAGGCGAGGAGGAGUGGAGCGUGGUGGUGACUGGUGAUGGGGUUAUGUACCUAGGGUAGGGUCAUGGACUUGAUCCAAGUAACUUACCCUAGGACAUCCUUAGAAGAGGUCGCCUUCCAGUCGACCAACGAGGAUUCACUCGACUGGCCUGAAGGACUCGACCACGAAGACCCACUCGACCACCAGGAGGUCAAGAGGCACUCUGCACUACAACGGCCUGUAAUCAAGUAGACUUUAUGAUAGUAAAGGCCUUUAUGUGGGGCGUUACCAGUAACGCCCCAGACUUAACUCACCUUAAACCCUCUCCUACGUGGGCUGGCUGGGGUCCUGGCGCACUCUAUAUAAGCCACCCCCCUCCACAGGCAGAGGGGUUCGGCACCUUGUAGUUCAUACACUCAUAAUCCACUCGACCGCCUCCGGGCUCCGAGACAUAGGGCUGUUACUUCUUCCGAGAAGGGCCUGAACUCGUACAUCCUUUGUGCUUACAACCUCUCCAUAGCUAGGACCUUGCCUCUCCAUACCUACCCCCACUCUACUGUCAGGCUUAGAACCACGACAGUUGGCGCCCACCGUGGGGCAGGUGUUUUAGCGAUUUUGUGGAGAAGUUGCGAUUGUUCCGAGUACUUUCAUCAUGGUGUCUGCUGGAGUUUUGGUCGAGGGUCAAGAGAUCCGUCUCGGCACUCUCACCUUCAUCGCCGACGACUCCGCAUGGCUCCAGGAGGCUCCACUCGACGUAGAUGCGCUCCCCGUCCGCGGUGCGACGCAUUUUCGCGCAUGUGUCCGCGGCGUUCUGCUGCGGCAACCGUUGACCCAGUAUCGGUCGGCUCCUCCAUCGUCCACCCUCCCGGUCUCCCGCCAGCGCAAGCGCUCAGGCCGGUCGAGGCUUCAGCGAUGGGUGAGUCACGCGGUGGCUCGCCAACCGGCCACUACCCAAGUUGCGGCAAUCGAGCCCAACGAAUCUCUCUACGGCUUGUUCGAUCAGUCGACUGGCUCCGUAGAGACUGCAUCCAAGUGCGGAAGCAGUGAUCCAGCGGCGGAAAUCUUGAUGGUCGACGGGCCCCACAGCCCUCCUGGCUUCGCCCGUGGUGGUGGAGCAGGUGACGGCGGCGACCCUACACGAGGCUACGAAGAGUACCAGCCCGAGCCACUCGACUCUCUGCAAAGAGAGGAACUUCGCCGCAGGAACGAGGAUCCCCUGCGUAUUCCCAUCGCAGGAGAAACCCCCGAGGCUCGUGCCUUGGAGGAGGCGCGUCUGGCCAAUUUGGCCGAGCGCACUCGACUGGAGAACCUUCAGCGAGCACUCGACGAGCGCGCGCGGCAACGAGUUCCCGACACCAGUCGACGUCAACUCUUCCCGUCGACUCAGGUAUAUCGAACCCCAAUUCAGAAUUUAGCAGCUGCGGCCCAUAUAGCAGAGUCCAUCCAGCCUUCGCAGUCGGAAGCUGGCAGAGGUUUGCUGCAGAUCAGGGAUCUGCUCCGGGCAGCAGGAGAUCAGAAUUCAGCCGUUUCUCAGUCGCGCAACAGAAUUCACAGUCGAUCCGUCACUGUGAAUACGGUUCAGUCGGCUCACAGCCCCAGAUCGCCUCCGCGGCACGAAGGGCGCGAGAAUCGGCGGGAUCAAUAUGGCGACAGAUUCGACCGAGAUAAUAGGCGUCGAGUGCCCUAUUCCCCUCCGAGGGGUGGGUCUUACGCUCCUCGGCAGCCAGAUGAUAGGCGUCAGUACAGUACAGGACGUAGGGUUCCAGUUGACCCUAGAGAACCAGGCUUCGACGCGCGGUCCAUUAUCGUGCAAGGGUUGGUCGACCGGAACAGAGCCCAUCGAGGCGCACUCGACAGAGAUGUACCCACAAGCAGUCGAGUGCAUGUUUCUGGUCCUGAAUGUUUCAGCAGAGCUAUCAGAGCCGCAGUUAUCCCCCCCAAUUUCAGGUUGGCAACAGGAGUCAGCAAGUUCACUGGUGAGUCUAAGCCUGAAACUUGGCUUGAAGACUACCGAGUGGCAGUUCAGAUUGGUGGUGGGAACGACGAGGUGGCCAUGAAGCAUUUGCCCCUCAUGUUGGAAGGUUCUGCCAGGGCAUGGUUGACUCAAUUACCUCCUAGCAGCAUUUACACUUGGGAAGAUCUGUCCCGAGUGUUCGUCAGAACGUUUGAAGGGACUUGCAAGCGACCAGCUGGAUUGACAGAGUUGCAAGUCUGCGUGCAGAAAGCUAAUGAGACUCUCAGAGAGUAUAUUCAGAGGUGGAUCACUUUGCACCACACUGUAGAGAAUGUGUCCGAUCAUCAGGCAGUCUGCGCCUUCAAAGACGGCGUCAAUAACAGAGAACUGAGUUUGAAAUUUGGUCGAACCGGUGACAUGACCUUGAGUCGGAUGAUGGAGAUUGCUACCAAGUACGCCAAUGGCGAAGAAGAAGACCGACUUCGAAGCGGCAAGCACAAGCCGAGUCAGUCGGAAAAGGGAAACACCAGUCGGAAACAGAAGCGGAAGGCUGAACCGGCAGCUCCUGGAGAGGCUCUGGCCGUGACUCAAGGAAAGUUUAAGGGGAAACCAAAAGGAUCCUGGAACCCCAAGAAGGUAAAGGAUAAAGAAGGGAACGACGUGUUGGAUAUGCCAUGUCACAUUCACACGAAGAAAGACGAAGAGGGGAAUAUCAUUUACCCAAAGCACACCACUCGCCAAUGUCGACUCCUGAUCCAGCAGUUUCAGGGAAAACAGUCUAAGGACAAGGAGAAGGAGUCGGACAAGGCCGAAGACAAAGAGGACAGUGAGGGAGGAUAUCCGCAUAUCAACUCCACUCUGAUGAUCUUUGCAGAUGUGGAAAGCAGAAGUCAACUGAAAGUGAUUAACCGAGAGGUGAACAUGGUUGCCCCAGCAAAGGCAAAUUAUCUGAAGUGGUCUCAAACACCCAUCACAUUCGACCAAUCUGAUCACCUGACUCAUAUUGCCACCCCUGGGAGGCAAGCUUUGGUGGUCGAUCCAGUUGUCGAAGGCACUCGACUGACAAAGGUGCUGAUGGAUGGUGGAAGUGGGCUGAAUCUGUUAUAUGCAGACACAUUGAAAGGUAUGGGCAUUCCAAUGUCCCGACUGAGCACUAGUAACAUGAGCUUUCAUGGAGUUAUACCAGGGAAGAAGGCCGAGUCACUCGGCCAGAUAGCUUUGGACGUAGUGUUUGGUGAUUCGAAGCAUUUUCGCAAAGAAAAGUUGACGUUUGAGGUCGUGGAUUUUCAAAGUGCAUAUCAUGCCAUUUUGGGGAGACCAGCCUAUGCACGGUUCAUGGCUCGACCAUGUUACGUGUACCUCAAAUUGAAGAUGCCCGGUCCCAAAGGUGUGAUCACUGUCUCCGGUGAUAGGAAAAAGGCAGAGGAGUGCUUUCAGAAGGGCUCCAAGAUUGCCGAUUCCCAAGUGACAGCGGUCGAGUUCGAAGAAUACAAGCAAAACGCAGAUCCGAGUGACUUGCUGCGAUCCAAGAAGCCCGCCACAGAGUCUGCAUUCCAGUCGUCCGGUGAGACGAAGCCUGUUCACAUUCACCCGACCGACCCCGAAGCAGCUCCAACCCGCAUCUCCACAACACUCGACCCAAAAUAGGAAGAAGCGCUCAUCCAGUUCCUCCGUGAGAACUGGGACAUUUUUGCAUGGAAGCCCGCUGACAUGCCAGGUGUUCCCAGGGGACUGGCUGAGCAUCGCCUAAGAGUCGACUCGUCUGCAAAACCAGUCAAAGAGCAUCUUCGGCGGUCCGCCGUCCAGAAGAGAAAAGCCAUCGGUGAAGAAGUGGCUCGACUGUUGGCGGCAGGAUUUAUCCGAGAGAUAUACCACUCCGAGUGGCUCGCUAAUGUCGUCAUGGUUCCUAAGAAGGACAAGUCGCUCCGAAUGUGCAUUGAUUUCAAGCACAUCAACCGGGCCUGCCCGAAAGAUCACUUUCCUCUCCCUCGCAUAGAUCAAAUUGUUGACUCGACCGCGGGAUGCGAGAGGUUGUCUUUUUUAGAUGCUUACUCCGGGUACCACCAGAUCCGUCUGUACGGGCCCGAUGAGGUAAAAACAGCUUUCAUCACUCCAUUCGGGUGCUUCUGCUAUAUCACCAUGCCAUUCGGCCUCAAGAAUGCCGGAGCCACAUUUAUGCGAAUGAUUCAGAAGUGUCUACUCACUCAAAUCAGUCGGAAUGUGGAAGCUUAUAUGGAUGAUAUUGUUGUCAAGUCACGAAAAGGUUCCGACCUGCUCGCUGACCUCGCCGAAACAUUUGCCAACCUUAGAAGGUAUGAUAUCAAGCUCAAUCCAUCAAAGUGCACAUUUGGAGUUCCUGGUGGCAAGUUACUCGGUUUUCUCGUUUCCGAACGGGGAAUCGACGCUAACCCAGAGAAGAUUGGCACUAUUCUCCAAAUGAAACGCCCUGUGCGAGUGCACGAUGUCCAGAAGCUUACUGGAUGCUUGGCCGCAUUAAGUCGAUUCAUCUCACGACUCGGUGAAAAGGCACUGCCUCUUUACCGACUGAUGAAGAAGGUUGACAAGUUCGAGUGGACUCCAGAAGCUGAUGCAGCGUUUGCCGAGCUAAAAGCUCUGCUCUCCACCCAGCCGGUGCUUGCUGCUCCAAUCAGCAAAGAGCCUCUGUUGCUCUACAUCGCAGCCACAGGACAAGUCGUCAGUACUAUGCUAACGGUCGAGCGGGAAGAAGAAGGAAAAGCUCUCAAAGUUCAGCGCCCAGUGUAUUAUUUGUCUGAAGUCUUGACUCCAUCCAAGCAGAGAUAUCCUCAUUAUCAGAAGCUUGUGUAUGGAAUAUACAUGACCACAAAGAAGGUUGCUCAUUAUUUCUCUGACCAUUCCAUCACAGUCAUCAGCGAUGCUCCACUAUCAGAGAUUUUGCACAACAGAGAUGCAACUGGUCGAGUGGCCAAAUGGGCGAUUGAACUUUUCCCCUUGAUAUCAAGUUUGAGGCAAAGAAAGCCAUUAAGUCCCAGGCGAUAGCAGAUUUCCUCGCCGAGUGGAUUGAACAACAGCAGCCGACUGAAGUUCACUCGGAGCAUUGGACCAUGUUUUUUGAUGGCUCUAAGAUGUUGAAUGGUUCCGGUGCUGGGGUUGUCCUGGUUUCCCCCAGAGGAGAUAAGCUCAGAUAUGUGCUCCAGAUUCACUUUGAUUCCUCCAACAAUGAGGCAGAAUAUGAGGCCCUCCUAUAUGGGUUGCGCAUGGCCAUUUCACUCGGCGUCCGUCGCCUAAUGGUCUAUGGCGACUCGGAUUUAGUGGUCAAUCAGGUGAUGAAAGAGUGGGACGUGAGAAGCCCAGCCAUGACUGGAUACUGCAGUGCAGUGAGGAAGCUGGAAAAGAAGUUCGAGGGGUUGGAGCUCCAUCAUAUACCCCGACUGAAAAACCAAGCAGCUGAUGAUCUAGCAAAGAUAGGUUCCAAGAGAGAAGCCAUUCCGAGUGGUGUGUUCUUGGAGCAUAUACACACUCCGUCAGUCAAAGAAGAUCCUUUCACCGAAGAAACUCCGCAGCCCAAGAGUGCCACAGAUCCGACUGAAGUUGAAGUCCCAGCGGUGGUCGACUUGAUCAUGGAGGUUUUGGUGGUCAUUCCCGACUGGACGAUUCCGUAUGUUGCAUAUAUCUUGAGGAAAGAGCUUCCGGAGGAUGAGGAAGAGGCUCGACAGAUCGUCCGUCGAUCUAAGGCCUUUACCGUAAUCAAAGGACAAUUAUACAGAGAAAGCGCGACUGGAGUCGGUCAGAAGUGCAUAACACCAGAAGAAGGUCGACUCAUCCUCAAUGAUAUUCACUCGGGGACCUGUGGUCAUCAUGCGUCCUCUCGGACCAUCGUGGCCAAAGCAUACCGAGCCGGAUUUUACUGGCCAAAGGCGAAUGAGAUGGCAAAAGAGAUAGUGGAUAAGUGCGAGGGAUGUCAAUUCUACUCGAAUAUGUCACACAAGCCUGCGUCGGCUCUGAAGACCAUCCCACUCGUCUGGCCUUUCGCAGUAUGGGGAUUGGACAUGGUCGGCCCCUUGAGAACAGGACGAAGUGGCUUCACGCAUGUACUGGUGGCAGUCGACAAGUUCACCAAGUGGAUCGAGGCUAAACCAAUCAAGAGCCUUGACACCGGUACUGCUGUUAGCUUCAUCAGGGAACUAAUAUUCAGAUAUGGAGUCCCGCACAGCAUCAUUACGGAUAAUGGGUCGAACUUUGACUCAGAGGAAUUCAGAGCUUUCUGCAACUCCCAGGGCACACGGGUCGACUACGCUUCAGUCGCCCAUCCGCAGUCGAAUGGACAAGCAGAACGAGCUAAUGGACUGAUUCUUAAGGGAUUGAAGCCUCGACUGAUGCGUGAUCUCAAACACGCGGCUGGAGCUUGGGUCGAUGAACUUCCCUCUGUACUCUGGGGACUGCGGACCACACCUAAUCGGUCGACCGGAAGAACUCCAUUCUUCUUGGUCUACGGAGCCGAAGCGGUCUUACCAAGUGAUCUUCUGCAUAAUGCUCCCCGAGUCGAAAUCUACAACGAAGCAGAAGCUGAACAAGCGCGGCAGGACGCAGUCGACCUUUUAGAGGAAGAAAGGGAGAUGGCUCUGAUCCGGUCGACCAUCUACCAACAAGAUCUGCGCCGUUUCCACGCCCGAAAUGUGAGAGGUCGAGCCUUCCAGGAAGGAGAUUUGGUUCUCCGAGUGGAUUAGCACAAACCACACAAGCUUGCUCCUUCUUGGGAAGGCCCCUUCAUAGUCACCAAGGUCCUCCACAAUGGGGCGUACCGUCUUUACAACGUCGAGCAUAAUUUCGACGAGCCCCGAGCUUGGAACGCGGAGCUACUCCGCCCAUUCUACACUUAAGUUUUAUCAUUCGGAUGAGUUGCAAUAAAGUACUUUUGUAGUUCAUGGACCUCAAAAUAAUAGUGUCAUAGUUCCUCCAUAAUAUCUGUCACUUUUUAUUUUUGUCCAAUGAAAUUCCCCUCAGUGGGUGACUUAGCUGCGAAUCCGUUUCGCCUAAGUUUGUAAAAAUCCUACCGAGUGGUGAGCCAGACUCCCACUCGGAGGCUUAGCUGCGAAUCCGUUUCGCCUAAGUUAUCAAAAUCCUACCGAGUGGUAAGCCAGCCUUCCACUCGGAGGCUUAGCUGCAGCCUCGUGCUCGCCUAAGUUAUCAAAAUCCUACCGAGUGGUAAGCCAGCCUUCCACUCGGAGGCUUAGCUGCAGCCUCGUGCUCGCCUAAGUUAUAAAAAUCCUACCGAGUGGUAAGCCAGCCUUCCACUCGGAGGCUUAGCUGCAGCCUCGUGCUCGCCUAAGUUAUAAAAAUCCUACCGAGUGAAGAGCAACCCUCUCACUCGGGGGCUUAGCUGCAGUCCAAGCACUCGCCUAAGUUAUAAAAAUCCUACCGAGUGAAGAGCAACCCUCUCACUCGGGGGCUUAGCUGCAGUCCAAGCACUCGCCUAAGUUGUAAAAAUCCUACCGAGUGGUGAGCCAGGCUCCCACUCGGAGGCUUAGCUGCGAAUCCGUUUCGCCUAAGUUAUCAAAAUCCUACCGAGUGGUAAGCCAGCCUUCCACUCGGAGGCUUAGCUGCAGCCUUGUGCUCGCCUAAGUUAUCAAAAUCCUGCCGAGUGAAGAGCAAUCCUCUCACUCGGAGGCUUAGCUGCAGCCUCGUGCUCGCCUAAGUUAUCAAAAUCCUGCCGAGUGAAGAGCAAUCCUCUCACUCGGGGGCUUAGCUGCAGCCAUGUGCUCGUCUAAGUUAUCAAAAUCCUACCGAGUGGUAAGCCAGCCUUCCACUCGGAGGCUUAGCUGCAGCCUCGUGCUCGCCUAAGUUAUAAAAAUCCUACCGAGUGAAGAGCAACCCUCUCACUCGGGGGCUUAGCUGCAGUCCAAGCACUCGCCUAAGUUGUGAAAAUCCUACCGAGUGAAGAGCAAUCCUCUCACUCGGAGGCUUAGCUGCAGCCUCGUGCUCGCCUAAGUUAUCAAAAUCCUACCGAGUGGUAAGCCAGCCUUCCACUCGGAGGCUUAGCUGCAGCCUCGUGCUCGCCUAAGUUAUAAAAAUCCUACCGAGUGAAGAGCAACCCUCUCACUCGGGGGCUUAGCUGCAGUCCAAGCACUCGCCUAAGUUAUAAAAAUCCUACCGAGUGAAGAGCAACCCUCUCACUCGGGGGCUUAGCUGCAGUCCAAGCACUCGCCUAAGUUAUAAAAAUCCUACCGAGUGAAGAGCAACCCUCUCACUCGGGGGCUUAGCUGCAGUCCAAGCACUCGCCUAAGUUAUAAAAAUCCUACCGAGUGAAGAGCAACCCUCUCACUCGGAGGCUUAGCUGCAGCCCUGUGCUCGCCUAAGGUAUAAAAAUCCUGCCGAGUGGAGAGCAACCCUCUCACUCGGGGGGCUUAGCUGCAGCCCAGUGCUCGCCUAAGUGGACUAAAGAAUAAGUCGAUUGCAGUACAGGCACCUUGCUUUGAACCUGCAAAAGACAUUCCGAGCCGAAGGCAAUCGUAUUCAAGCACCAAAUCCAAGUUUGAAUCGACAUCUAAAGGAACCGAAAGUGCUCAGGCGUCAAGCCUGUUAAGGUUUGUCGGUUACAAUUCCACUCGGCAUACCGAGGCAAAUUUAAAGCGUCGAGCCAGAAGAAGUUUUUUACCCCUCCUGUGGAGGGCUGGAAGGUGCAACAAAUUCAUCAAGGUCAAUCCCGUCGGCGAUCCGAGUGGCAGCUGCAAGGAAAGUUUCCAUAAAGGACCUGAAGUCGUGCUUCUUGGUAUUGGCCACCCGAAGGGCCGCCAGCUUCUCUUCUCGCGCAUCUUUGCAGUGGACUCGGGCCAGACACAGAGCGACAUCUGCACCACAUCGAGCCGAGGACUUCUUCCACUCUUGCACUCGACCAGGGAUCGUGUUCAAGCGGGCCAUCAGCGACUCAAGGUCAUUCUGAAGUGUCUCCUCAGGCCAGAGCGUCGAGUCGAUGCGAGAUGUGGCGGCCUUCAGCCUUGCGAGAUAGUCCACGACAGCUACAACACGAGACUCCAGUCGGAAAACAUCCAUGGCAACUUCGUCGUUCACCGGAGAAUUGACGGGGUCGAGGUUUGGCUCCAGUCGGCUGGUUUCUUCUUCAAAGUUUUGACAAAAUUCUGCAAGGAUGAUCACUAAGUCAAGGGGAUAGUCGAAUGGAAAAAGCCACAAUUGGAAAUAUUUGCCAAACAUGGAGGUUUACCUUCAAGCAUAAGAAACAGCUUCUUGGCAAGGCCACUCAGGAAGGCCUCCAGUUCAGUUUUCUUCUCAGUCAAUUUGCUGACUUGGUCGGUCAGGGCAGCUUUAUCAGUUUUCAGUCGACUGACCUCCUUGUUGGCAAUCCCAAGAGCAGCUUUCAGAUUGGUAUUGUCUUGUUCGAGCUUGAUGACUGAAGCUAACUUCUCGUCAGCAAGCUUGAUCUUCUCAGCUAGCUCAAGGUCUUUCUUCUGCUGGGCCUCCCUUACCUUACCUGCAAGUUACAGCAAGAUCAUAUUUUGAAACAAGCAAGGGGAAAAGCAGUCGUCAGGGUCUCACCAAACAUACCUUCGGUCUCCUCCUUUGCCUUUGUCAGCUUCUCCUGAACCAGCUUCAAGCUCAGCUCGACUUGAGUAUGUUUUUGUUCCAGCUCUGAGUAGCGAGCCACAAGAUCACAGGAGUUCUGCGAAGAACCAAUCGACUAAAUGUCAAAUAUAAUUCACUUCCGAGUGAAAAAGGGAAAAACACACGUUUCUAAGACUACAGCCAAAUACAAGCAUUCGACCGUAGUCUCGGGGACUACACCCAGUGGGUGCACUCAGCGUGCCCCCACUAAUCCCGAUGAAGACAAAGUCGACCAGUCGACCUCAAAAAAAAAGAGAGAUGCAUUCUCUAAGACUGUGAUCAACUGCAAGCAGUCGACCACAGUCUCGGGGACUACACCCAGUGGGUGCACUCAGCGUGCCCCCACCGGUUUGUGAAAUCCAGUCGACCAGUCGACUGACAGAAAGAUUGACGUCAUAAAGCCUAAGGCCGACUGCCAGCAGUCGACCUUAGCCUUGGGGACUACACCCAGCGGGUGCACUCAGCGUGCCCCCGCUAACACGGAGUUUAUUCGACACACCCACUGGGUGACUACUAUAAAUUCCGGAAAAGAAAAGUUUUUGGUAGCAUAUCCAACAGAACAAACAGUGGUCGACUGACCUGGACAUUGCUUUGGAGGGCAGAACUGGCGUCAUAAGCUGCCUGGCUCGCAUCCCGGAUGGUCUUCAACUGCUCCAUCAUGAGUCCCGCCUGGCGUAUUGCCUCCUUCGCUGCGCCAGCUUGGUCCUCUGGGACGUGGUGCGUCGUGAAGAGGGAGGGCUGCUGAGCACUCGUCAGCGGAUUUGCGAAGGACACCGUGUGUCGAGUGGUGUUUUCUUCCUCCACAGUCCGAAUCUCAGGCGCCGUCACGUCCUGAGGCACCUUACUGGCGGACGCUUUCCGACUCCUCCUGCGUGUCAGUGGUUCUUCAUCCUCGUCGUCGUCAGGGAGAUUGAUAACAGUGUUGGGUGGAGCUGCGGAGAAGAAUCAGGAUCAGAGAUCGCGAGUCAGUCGACUAAGAACGGUGUUAAGAAUACAGUACCUGGGUUCGAAGUUGCUGCAUCUUCCAUCUCGUGGUCGUCAGCCCGAGCUGAGGUUUCAGAAGUAGCAGCACUGCAACUCCAAAGGAUCAGUCGACUAACUUCAGCGUCGACCAGAGAUAAAGUUCACACAGAAUAAGAAAAUAUGAGCAACACAGUUACCCUGAUAUGGUGGGGAUGGACACCUUCAUCUUCGGCAAGAGUUUGAUCGGCUUCGACGAGGCCGCCCUGGGCUGCUUCGGCGCCUUUUCAGUCGGCACCGGAGAGGUGGUCCGAGGGCGCUUGGUCGACUGAGUGGCGGUCACAACCCCCUUACCAUGUUCGGUCGAAGGGUCGUGGACAAGCUUCGACCGCCUUUCUGAGCGCGGCGGUACGACCUCCUCCUCCUCCUCUUCCUCGUCCUCAACGUCGUCUUCAUCACCGACAUCAUCAUCAUCGUCGUCAUCAUCCUCUGCAACAUCCGAGUCCCAUUCCUCCUCUUCUUGGCUCUCUCCCCCGCUCGCCUCGCCCUCCUCAGUCGAAGCUUGUGCCCCAUUGGGCAUCGAGUACAGCUCGGUGAGGGCCUAGCAGAUGCCCAGACAAGGAUCAGUCGACCAGUCGGCAGGGUUAACAGAAAUGAAUACGACGAGGGCGCAGUGGAGAGCAGAGCAAGUGUACCUUGUUUGAGUCGCUGUUGUGGUCGAGUGGAGGAAUCCUUCUGGCUCCACGUGGGUUGUCCUUGUUUCCGGUGACGGCUACCAUCCAUCUUUCCAGAGUGACAUCGUCGACUGCUUCUGGAUGGACUCUAGUCUCGUCUUCGGUCCCACAGUACAACCACAUGCAGUGGCUUCGGAACUGGAGAGGCUGGAUGCGACGCCUGAGGAAUACCUCCAGGAGGUCCAUGCCCGUCACUCCCUCCCGAACCAACUGCACCACGCGCUCCAUCAACAUCUUCACGUCAGCUUUCUCCUCCGGAAUCAGCUUCAGAGGGGAAGGCUUGCUCACUCGGUCCAUGGUGAACGGAGGGAGUCCACUCGACUGCCCUGGCGUCGACUGGACCUGGCAGUAGAACCAAGUCGACUGCCAGCCUCUGACGGACUCGGGAAAGGUCAUGGGCGGGAAGGUGCUCUUAUUCCUCACCUGAAUCCCCAGGCCUCCGCACAUUUGGACGACUCGGGUUCUCUCAUCACCUGGGCUCGCCUUCUUCACGGUCUGAGAUCGACACGUGAAUAUACGUUUGAACAAACCCCAGUGCGGUCGACAGCCCAAGAAACCCUCACACAUGGACACGAACGCGGCAAGAUAGGCAAUGGAGUUUGGGGUAAAGUGGUGGAGCUGCGCUCCGAAGAAGUUCAAAAAGCCACGAAAGAAAACACUCGGCGGCAAGGAAAACCCGCGAUCAACAUGGGUGGCCAACAACACACACUCACCCUCUUCUGGCUGGGGCUGCCACUCCUUCCCCGGAAGCCUCGCAGCUUCGUGGGGGAUCAAGCCCUCGUUGGCCAUGUCGAGGAGGUCAUUCUCCGUGAUGGUCGACUGGAUCCAGUCUCCUUGGACCCAGCCCUUCGGCAGGCGGGAUCUGGACGAGGACCCUCCGCGGCUGGUGGAUCUCCCCUUCGCCUUCUCCGAUGCCGACGCCUUCUUUGCACGCUCCAGCGCCGCCGUCUUCUCCUUGGCCAUGGUCGCCGGCGAGAUGCGCGAAGGGAAGUGGUGCGGGGGCGAGAGCGAGCAUGCUGAGCAGGGAGGAAGGAAGCAGAGAGAGGGGGAGAAUGCUAAGGCGCAACACAGAAAUCCUCGCUGGGCACAUUUAUAAGGUCCCUUCCGAGUGGAUGACAGGUGGGCCCGGUCGAUCUAAUCAUAUCUGGAACAGUUAUGCAGACGGGAUACGUGGCGAAAAAGGCGGCGCGGAGAUCGAGGCGUCCAUGCCCCGUCCCAUCCGAACGCCACGGUCCGCCCCGCUUCGCGCGCGCCCCAAAAUUUCGCAUCCCGCGGAAUCCGCGAGCAACAAAUCAGUCUGUCAGGCGCGGCGUUUCCGGCGAUCCGUCGCUCGGAGAUCGUCGAAGCCUGAAAGAUCACUCGACGCAAAAACAGAAUGGAUCAAGUCGACUGAAGGCAAGUUGUUUCCUGUCGACAAAGGGAUUCUUUGGUCCAGAACAGCGCACAACCGGAGCGCAAAGGUUAAUCGGAAACGACAUCAACUCCUUCUUCACUCAAAGCCUCAAUCCAUUCGGGGGCUAAUGAUGGGGUUAUGUACCUAGGGUAGGGUCAUGGACUUGAUCCAAGUAACUUACCCUAGGACAUCCUUAGAAGAGGUCGCCUUCCAGUCGACCAACGAGGAUUCACUCGACUGGCCUGAAGGACUCGACCACGAAGACCCACUCGACCACCAGGAGGUCAAGAGGCACUCUGCACUACAACGGCCUGUAAUCAAGUAGACUUUAUGAUAGUAAAGGCCUUUAUGUGGGGCGUUACCAGUAACGCCCCAGACUUAACUCACCUUAAACCCUCUCCUACGUGGGCUGGCUGGGGUCCUGGCGCACUCUAUAUAAGCCACCCCCCUCCACAGGCAGAGGGGUUCGGCACCUUGUAGUUCAUACACUCAUAAUCCACUCGACCGCCUCCGGGCUCCGAGACGUAGGGCUGUUACUUCUUCCGAGAAGGGCCUGAACUCGUACAUCCUUUGUGCUUACAACCUCUCCAUAGCUAGGACCUUGCCUCUCCAUACCUACCCCCACUCUACUGUCAGGCUUAGAACCACGACAACUGGUGGUCGGAAUGGGCGGAGGCAUGGGGAUGGACAACACCGGCAGGCGGCAGCGGGCACCAUGCAUGCUAGAUUGUUCCAGAGACUUAUUCCUUUUUUAAUUGCUGAUCAAUGAGGUUGUGGGAGAUAAUGAUGUGGAGAGAGGUGCGGGUAUCUUUUGUAAAAUUAUCAUAGUUUGCUUUCUAUUCGUCAGAUAUAGAUCAUACGAUGUGUACUACAAGAUGGCAGGCACACCAUCAUCGCCAACUCGUUUUUUUAUAAGGGUACAAAUGAUAAGUUUGCUGACUACUAAAGUAAAGUGGAAUUUGUCCAUGUUAUGCAGGUAAAUAAAGGUGAUUGUUUAUCAUACGGGUAAGGUUGGAUGAAGGGUGGUAGGAACAAAUGCUCCGCCUAGAGCAUGUGUGUGUGAGAUGGAGUCGUAGUGUGUGUGUGGGGUGUGUGUGUGUGUGUGUGUGAGAGAGAGAGAGAGAGAGAGAGAGAGAGAUGGAGUCUUAGUUUUUGUGUGUGUGUAUGUGNNNNNNNNNNNNNNNNNNNNNNNNNNNNNNNNNNNNNNNNNNNNNNNNNNNNNNNNNNNNNNNNNNNNNNNNNNNNNNNNNNNNNNNNNNNNNNNNNNNNNNNNNNNNNNNNNNNNNNNNNNNNNNNNNNNNNNNNNNNNNNNNNNNNNNNNNNNNNNNNNNNNNNNNNNNNNNNNNNNNNNNNNNNNNNNNNNNNNNNNNNNNNNNNNNNNNNNNNNNNNNNNNNNNNNNNNNNNNNNNNNNNNNNNNNNNNNNNNNNNNNNNNNNNNNNNNNNNNNNNNNNNNNNNNNNNNNNNNNNNNNNNNNNNNNNNNNNNNNNNNNNNNNNNNNNNNNNNNNNNNNNNNNNNNNNNNNNNNNNNNNNNNNNNNNNNNNNNNNNNNNNNNNNNNNNNNNNNNNNNNNNNNNNNNNNNNNNNNNNNNNNNNNNNNNNNNNNNNNNNNNNNNNNNNNNNNNNNNNNNNNNNNNNNNNNNNNNNNNNNNNNNNNNNNNNNNNNNNNNNNNNNNNNNNNNNNNNNNNNNNNNNNNNNNNNNNNNNNNNNNNNNNNNNNNNNNNNNNNNNNNNNNNNNNNNNNNNNNNNNNNNNNNNNNNNNNNNNNNNNNNNNNNNNNNNNNNNNNNNNNNNNNNNNNNNNNNNNNNNNNNNNNNNNNNNNNNNNNNNNNNNNNNNNNNNNNNNNNNNNNNNNNNNNNNNNNNNNNNNNNNNNNNNNNNNNNNNNNNNNNNNNNNNNNNNNNNNNNNNNNNNNNNNNNNNNNNNNNNNNNNNNNNNNNNNNNNNNNNNNNNNNNNNNNNNNNNNNNNNNNNNNNNNNNNNNNNNNNNNNNNNNNNCCAGGCGGAAGUUAUGUGCACAAAAGAGGAGAACGAUUCGAUGUGGCGUUAUGAUUGAGGGUAAUUAACUACGUAUGGAGACACAGAGACCUUGAACGUGCAUAUGUGAGAGGUAUACAUCUAUACAUGGGAUGUGUGUGUGUGCGCGCGCAUGAUCGAGAUAAAAGAAAGAAGAGAUAAGUCAUAAGAUCAACGACAUGGGAGAGACGGAUCGGCAUGACAAUAUGCAUGCAUGUGAGAAUGUAGGGAAGAAGGCCCGACAAUUGAGCAUGUGUUUUUGUCUUUAAGAGAUAGUGGCGUGGGCUGGAGCAUGCAUCUAUGGCUAGCAGAGGGAGUGAGUCACAACGAUUGUGCAAAAGAGAUCAACCUAUAAAUGCAUAUGUAUGGAGAGACAUAUAUAGUGUGGGUGAUAGGAAGCAAGACUCGGUGCGAGAAAGAAAUGUUGACGGAGAAACUACAGAUAGAUACAGAGAUGGAGAUGCUAGCUAGAGGGACAUCUGCUAGUUUGGGUGUUGGAGAUGACCGACGGGUGGUUCAGAGGGUGAAGUUAUAUAUAUGUGUGAGAGGGCACAUGACUGCAUGUAGAGAGAAACAUAUGUAGUGUGUGUGAUAGGAAUUAAGAGUGAGGGCGAGAAAGAAGGUUGAUGGAGAAACAGAUAAAUAGAAAGAUAAAGAUGCUAGCUAGUGUGCGUUAGAGAUAGGAGUUGAGUGGAUCAGAAGGCUGAGUUAUGUGUGUGGGUGUGAGAGAGAUAGAGAGAGGGUGCAUGUGAGUCACAUACAAACAGAUAUCAGAGAGAAAUGAUAUCCCGAGAGACGGAGUUUUGUGUCUGCGAGAGAGAAAGAUAUUUCACAACGAGAGUGAUAGCUAGAGAGAAAUAUGAGGGAACACAAGAUAUAUCUAGGGAGAGAGAGUGUGUGUGAGCGACAUACAAGAGAACAAUGGAGAAAUAUGAGACCCUGGGAGACAGAGUUUGUGUUUGUGUGUGAGAAAGAGAUGUUGAAGAGGAAGAGUCGUAGGUUCUCAUAUCUAAGGAGCGAAAGACAUCUCUGUAUGAGGGGUGUGCGAGUGGCACACAUGGGAAUAGUAGAGAGAAAUGAGACCCCGGGAGACAAAGUUUUGUGUUUGUGUGAGAGAAAGAGAUUCCACAUGGAGAAUCAUAGUUAGAGACACAAAGGAGGGAGCAAGAUAUACUUAGAGAGAGAUAGAGUGAUGAAGGUCGAGGGAGAGAGUACCGUCAGUGUGUUAUGAAGAUAAAAGAUCAUUGUCGACAUACAGGUAGCAUGAGAGAUACCUGAGAGACGAUGAACGCGUAUAGGUCCAGAGAGAUAGUCCUAUAUAAGCAUGAGUGAUAGCUAUAUGAGAUGAAUAUCUGGAUUAAAGGGGAUUCAAAUAUUUAAACUGGAUAUCACGACAUCGAUAAUAUCAUAACGCAAAUUGGUGUAUCAAACACCAUAUUCAUUUGAAUUUGGGCACACGUGUAAUGUUAUAUAGUUUAUCAAUAUUGGUGAUCCAUAGAUUCUUUAAUUACAAACAAUGCAUGGUUUAUAUGCAAUUAGUGUCUAAACGGGAUUACACUAUAUGUUGCGUGUGUGAAACACAUUAUACAUGUUUGAGCAGUAAAAAAACCCGCAUGAAAGACACAUUAAUUGGAGACAGUUAGCGAGGAAUGCAUACAUUGGAUUUCAACAUAAAGUGGUUUCAAAUAUUUGAAAAUCCAAAUUGAUGGAUACAACCUUAUGAAUCUGAGAUCAUGCCAUUUGUAAACCAUAUUUAUGUAUGAAUGGUGUUGUGCUUUUGAAAGUAUAUAUAAAAAAAUGAUGUAUAUAGAAUGUAAUUCCAAUUGAAAAUGGAUCUCGCCCGAAAAAAUAGAAUACAAACGGGAUUCGAAUUGAGUUGUCACGAGCGUAAACAUGCACUUUGCAAAAUUUGAGCGAAGCGGGGAAAGUCGCAGUAACCGCCCGAAACCAAAAUCUGCGAGAUGGAAAUUACUACUGCCUAUCCCUCCCAUGCAAAGCCUAUCUGCUAGAUUUCUAUAGGUUUCGAUAGAGGUAGGUUUGUAAUUUCACCCAAAUGUGACGUAACCGCCUCUUACCCGGAUUCAUACACGGUGGGCGCCAAAACACAGUGUGUCCUCGGCCGAAAUAGACUCCCUCCCCGAUUCAUAUUCAUACAUGGUGGGUGCCCAAAACAAACUCUCGUCGGCAAAUAUUCAGUGUAUGCGAGAUUAACGUCCUAUCCCCAACCGACUAUUGUUGCUGUGAUGUAGUAGAAAUUUGAAACGGGGGCUAAGUUUGUAAAUUUCCUCGCAUUUGAGACAAGCGCGCCCAGAAUACAUGGUUCCCUCCCUUCCUCUCUACCUCCCUUUUCCCCAUUCAUACUCCAUGGGCGCCAAAACACCCUCUCCACCCCACCCUCCUCCGUCUGCCACAGCCCGCCACCCCAUCCACCGCCGUCCUCCUCCACCAUGCCAGAGCUGAUACGCCGACGCCGCCGUCCAUUACAAGAGAUCAACCUCUCUCAUCCACGGCUUCGGACCGGGAUCCUUGCAUCCCGUCCUCUCGCUUCAUCCCCGCCGUUGUCCACCUUGCCGGCGCCGCUCCUACGACGUCUCGUCCACCGCGCCCCGCCGCCACCAUCUACCGUCCUAGAUCUGGUUCCAUGCCGCCGACAACCAUCGCUACCGCAUCACUGUCAAAUUCUCAGCAGAUGCGUACACGGCACUACACCAGAGGCGGUACUCUUUUGUAUCUGCUCAACUUAUUUAUCGCAGCAAGAAAAUAGAUCACCACUGCUUUACUCUGAUUUCUUGUCUUGGUUGCGAAGUUGCCUUUGUCCGGUUUGCACCUUCAGAUCCGCCAUGGCACGCUCAACACUAUACUCCCAAUGCUUAUGAUUUUCCCCUUUUAUAUUCCACACUAGUUAAAUCAUAGUAGACUAAAUUUUUCAGAGCUCGCCGGAGUUUGCCGGUGCGAACGAAGGGGCUCGGGUGGUUGUGGGGCCUCGCCGAACGAAGAAAACUCAACGCGGGUGGGUGUUGGGGCGGGGGUGGGGGGUGGGGGUGGCGGAGGAACACAGGCGGUGAGGGCCGGUGGUCCGGCGGGCGGGCCGUGCGGUGUUUUGUAUGGGAAGAAUCAGAGACGAGGAAGAAGAUGGGUUAGGAGAUGUAGGAUCUUCUUCCAACCGCCUGAAAUGGUCGAGAGACAGCUGGGAGUUGCAUUCUUAAUGCGCUCUGGUUCAUCAUGUGUGGGCACUAUGCAACCAACAUUUUAUUAUCCAAAUUCUGCUUGCUCUUCUUUACCAUGUUCCUCUUCCGUUCUUCUUUAAUAUGUAAUCUCUCCGUUCCUAAAUACAAGUCUUUGUAUAGAUUCCACCAUGGACUACAUAUGGAGCAAAAUGAGUGAAUCUACACUCUAAAAUGUAUCUGGAUACAUCUAUAUAUGAUCCAUAGUGGAAAUCUCUACCAAGACUUAUAUUUUGGAAUGGAGGGAGUAUGAUAGUAGUACAAUAUGUUCCUUGUACUGAAGAUGAGCAGGGACAUUUGCAGUGUAGAGGUCUAUACGGUCGGUUGCGAUGGACACUUUGAGCCUCUUUGAUUCAUAGGAUCUUGUAAACAUAGGAAUAGGAUUUGUAGUGGCCUUCCCACUUGAAUACUAUAAGAAUAGCAAGGAAAUGCGGGGAGCUGUGUCGCCUUUGAGAGUUACAUUGAUAUUAACAGUACCGCACCUUCACUUGAAGAGAGCUGGUAUCCGAAGCCUUUCCAGCCGUACCGGCAAACUAGCACAUAUAUUCCAGCAAGUUCCACUUUGCUGAUUUUACUUUGAUGCUUAAGGUUUUCCCGUUAUAUCUACACUAUGAUCUAUGUAGCUGCUUUGUGUCGCACUAGCAACAGUCCACUCUUGAAGCUAAACACUGCAAUGACUUACAAAAUUGGCACCAAGGCAUUGAGUGCCAUUCUGGAUGCAAUGAAACUCAUACGCUCCCCACUUGUUGACUCUUGUUCAGAAUAUGAUCCUAAUGGCUCUUGUUCAAAAUUGCCACAUAUAGAGAGACAACAUGGAAUUGCAUUUCUUUGGGCGCUGUGAUUCAUCAUGAGUGGGCAACCAACAUUGUAUGCAAUGAAGCGGAACCUCAAGAAUAUGCUUCCUCGUCCGUUCUUUAACAUGUUCCUCUUUGUUUAUUAUGUAUUUAGUACGUACAGUAUGUUCCUUGUCAGGAAGGGGCAUAGGGACAUCUGCAGUCAAUAGCUAAUAAAGCUGGCCUGUACGUGAUCGAUAGGCUUUCAAUUACUAGCGGCAAUACAACACCGUAUUUUCAAGCCAGUUCCACUUUCCCGAUUUAUAUAUCGUGGUUAUGGUGUACCCCUGUAAUGUACACUAUGAUCUUCCUAGUUGUUGUGUGCUCUUGUUAUCAUGGUUUGGCAAUAAACUCUCUAUACAGUAUAUUAUGAACCUGUCAUCUGCCAGCUAUCCUUACUUCUGGAGCCUAUUUUUUGUGUACUUGUGCCAGAUUAUAUAAAUGCACGCACCAUAUUACAGCACACAUGAGCUCUCUCAUCAGAAUUCAGUGAUAGCACACAAGUGUUUACAGGGGCGCCCCUAUAUUAGAAUAUCAUCUGCAUUACAAAUAUAAUCUCACAACUAUUUAUGUUAUCAUGGUUCUUAGAUAUUAUACGCAAUUACAGUGAAUAUCAGAAUCCGCGCAUCAGAAGAAUAUUGUGGAACACUGCAAUGACUUACAAAAUUGGCACCAAGGCAUUGAGUGCCAUUCUGGAAGCAAUGAAACUCAUACGCUCCCCACCUGUUGAUUCUUGUUCAGAAUAUCAUCCUAAUGACUAUUCUAACCUCGAGGAGUCAAAGGCAGAUGGCCUGUCCUGUUCACCCAUCAAGGUGCCUAUUCUAAUUUGGCAAGGUUUUAUUGAUUGCGCGUAUCUUGCAUAUGUUGUCUUGCAUUUCUUGUACUUUGUUGCACCGCCAUCUGCCUAGUUUACUCAUCAUAUAACUCGAGAUGCCAUGCCCAUCCAUUAUCAAUACAUAUUCCAUCUGUCAUCAUACCAUGUUUUUCCACUCAAAUGUUGUUCUUGUGCAUCAGACAUCAAAAAGCAAGAGGGUGAUUGCCGAACCCUAAGGAGCACCAACAAAGUCCUUGAAAAACGUGGUGGUGCCGGAGAAAUCAGACAAUGCCCCACUUAUAUUGGAUGUACAACUAGUGACACAAAACGUAGGACCGAUUCCAGCAGACUGUACCCAUACUUCACUGGCCACACCACUAGCCCCACCACACAGGACCUGCACUCCAGCAAAAGGUAUACCGAUUUCAUUUGCCAUAGCACCAGCCGUACCACAGAAAAAUCCCACUCCAGCAAAAAGUACAACAAGUCCACCGGCCGAAGACCUAUCCCAACUGCAGAGACUGCAAAUUCCUGCAGAUUGGAACCCCAUUCCAUUUAUUCCCAGUUUAAAAGACAAUGCUUUCAAUGUUGUUAGGGACUACGUGCAUAUAUUCCCAUCAUGGGAAUAUUAUAGUGAAGACAAACACCAUUUUCACAUCUUCCUGCCCAAGUUACGUGUAAGUGCUUUUAUUCAUGGUUAUUAUUUUCCUGUUUUCUGCUGAUCGAACACAUCAAUGAUUUACAUUACACUGUUGUAACUAGGCGAGGGUCAAUCUGGAUAGUCAUGACGAACAAAGCUUGCUUGUGCUUUUCAAGGAAGCAUUGCAGCAGUAUCGGUGUUACCUGAGGAAAUCACACUUUGAUGGCAAGUCUAUAAAUGAAUUUCCGGUGAAGUCUCCUGUGCUAAAAUUAGAAGACAUUGAAUGGAAAAACCUUGUUAUGCACUGGUCUCGUUCCCGGGAUGAGGUACUGUCUAUGAAAUCACAUGACAAUUUGAACUUCUACUUUUCUGCAUGUGCCUUACGGAUCUUUUUUGCAAGAAAUCUGCUUGAAGAAGAAUUCCGGUUUGAAAAGAACGACAGGAUAUCACAAAUAUGCUGCCCGCUGCUUUGCUCUUGUUAGUACCAGUUGUCCUGUAUCACUGUACUUGCAUACAUACCUGGUUCAUUAUGUGACAGCAGUAUGCAUGAUAGCUUGCUUAUCAAUUGUUCGCUCCAAAUUAUCUGAUCUGUAUGAAUGGUUACAUUAGUGUAGAAUAUAUCCAAUGCCAAUGAAUUUUUUUAGCUCUGCAUUGUUCUUGUAAGUACAUGCUGUCCUUUAUCAGUGUACUUAUAUUGACAGGUAAUUGUUCAUGUACCAUCACUCUGCAGCUUAUUUUCCUUUGCCCUCCAUUUUCUACACAUCAGAUCUAUAUUUACUCUUACCAUAAUGUUGGUACUGAAGAAGUUUAGCUGUGCAUUGCUCUUGGCUGUGCCUUUUCUCUGUAUCACUGCACAUACAUUUAUAGCUACUUGGUUAUGUAGCAUCACUCUUCAUCUUAUCUUACAUAUUCUUCAUUUUUUCGUAUAUUAUCACAUCUAUAUAUACUCUUAACAAAAUGUAGAAUAAAGGCAAUGCUUAUGAAGAAGAUUAUGUGGUAAACUUCUUGAAUUACCCCCCAUCAGCAUGGACAAGGGCUUUAUAGAGCCUGACUUCAACAGUAAUGUAAGUUUGUCCUUCUCAAGCCUUCAAACUUUGUUGUGUAUAUUUGGUUAGGCAUGACUACAACAGCUGUUUAUUUUUGGUGUUUGCAUCAAAUUGCAUGUUUAAAGUUUAUUAUGUAGUUCAUAAACAAAAGUUUGUCCUUCUCAAUUUAAGUUUUCAGCUGUACAACCAAGUUCCUUCUUCAUACCAUGUAAAUUAAACUAUACAGAGCAAGUGAUCUUCUUUUGCACUGCAUGUAUGCUUCUGUUCUUCAUCUGUAAUCCAGUGGUGUGGUGAACCUACCCACUACAGCACAAUGUCAUAUUCUGCAAUGUCUUAACUAUGAACAAUGUCAUAUCAUUCUCUUAUUAUUUAAACCGUCUCUUUAUUUGCCAAUCUGAAAUGGGAUAAAUUGACAGCACACUAACCAUUGAUACUUAUGAGUUCUUGAUUUGUAAUCCAGUGGUGUCCUGAAGCUGCCAACUCCUUCACAAUGUCAUUUCCUGCCAUGUCUUGACCUGAACAAUACCAUAUUGUGUUAAUGCAUUUUUAAACUAUGUCACUUUAUUCGUCAGUAAGAAAUGUGAUGAAUUGUCAGCACUGAUACUUUUAUGUGCAAAACCUGUCAUCUGUCUGCUUAUUUAUCUUUCAGAGUGAGGAAGAUAAAAGUGUUGAACAAGUGCAGUCUCAUCAUCUUGCUCAGGUGCUUUCGCUGCAGCUCGCCAGCAGGGCUAACCUUUCUUGAACUCUAUUGAAGUGCUAUAGGUUUUUUAUAUUAUUUUGUCGGCGUGUUUAUUUGCACUGGUGGUGAUCUUUGAUGCCCACUGUAUGUAAUCUGCUGUCUGCUUGUGCUUUAUUACCAUAGUGGCGAACUUUGAUGCCCAGUGGAUGUAAUAUGCCGUAAUUUAUUUAUUGUAUAGUCUAGGUUUUUUCUUAUUCACGAUACUGCAGUUAUUUUACUAUAUAUAUAUAUCAUGUCUUUGCAGUAAAGCGGCCAAACCGUAAAAUUACGGUACAUAAUCGGGCCGUCAUGCAAUCACGAUGUAUGAUCCGCAUCAUGGGCCCCGUCAAACUGGACCACUAGUAGAUUCGGGCCUUUAAUAGGCCGAGUAACCCCCGACCCUCUUUUCGCAAGAAAACUCAAUGGGCUUUUAGGAGGCUGAGAAGUAGGUUGGGUCUGAAACGUGCCGAACAGCUCACGGGCCGGCAGCUGCCCAAAAUGGACCCCGACCCAUGAUUGUGCGAAUCAAAUCACAGGCUUUUAACAGGCCAAAAUUGUCUCGGUCCUUGUUUGAUCCAAUCAGAUAUCGGCUGCGAGCAGGCCGGAUGCAAACCGGGCCGUAGUUAGGCCCAACUAUAUGGCGGGCUUUUAAUAGGCCGAAAUUAAUAUAGGGCCGAAAUGUUAAACGGGCCCUUAAUAGGUCAAAACUAAUAUCAGGCCGAAUUACUAAAUGGGCCUUUUCCAAGUGGGCCCAAAAGCAUAGCGUCCAAUUAACGGGCCGAAUCUGAUAUGUGCCAUAAUUGAGGCCGAAGCCUCUUAAAGGGCCGGACCUGAUCUGGGCCGUGAUUUGGCCUAGAACAUGGGAGGCUUUCAACGGGCCGGAUCUCAUAUGGGCCAUUAUUAGGCCCGAAACGUGGCAGGCCAUUAAUGGACCGGAUCAAAUAUGGCCCGGCAUUUGGCCCAAAACAUGGCAGCCAGUUAAUGGGCCGGCCUACUAGGGUCCUCAAAAUCUUGUGGGCCUACAGCUGGGCCGACCCAUUAGUGUCGGUGAAAUCUCGUGGGCCUUUAGCUGGGCCGGCCCAUUAUGAUCCGCAAGAAUUUUGUGGGCCUUUACCUGGGCUGGCCCAUUAUGGCACACAAAAAUCUUAUGGGCCUUUACCUGGGCCGGCCCAUUAUGGCCCGCGAAAUCUUGUGGGCCUUUAGGUGGGCCAGCCCAUUAUGGUCCACAAAAUCUCGUGGGCCUUUAGCUAGGCCGGCCCAUUAUGGUCCGCAAAAUCUUGUGGGCCUUUAGUUGGGCCGGCCCAUUUAAACUUGAUGGGCCGUGCCACGUGUCGAUGUAUCAUAGGCGCCUUCUAUCCAAUGAGUGGAUGACAUCUAUCCCAACGAUGAGCCGACACGUGUUUCCUCCAGCCAAUGAUGAUUUUACACGUGGAAAAUCCCCAUUGGUCGGGGCUGUUAACGGGUUAUCGGAUCCAAAACCCGACCCGAUAGCUUAACGGCGUUCCGUUACAGUGGAUGCCACGUGUCGGUCACCCUUGAUGAAAGCACUUCUGUGACGCGCGAUUUAUCGUCAUGGAAGUGGACACUUCUGUGAUGAUAAUUUUGGUAAUGUCAUGGAACACUUCUAUGACAACACAUGUAUGACUAUCUUGAUUCUGUCAUAAAAUCGUCAUGGAUGUACAUGCAUGACAAAAAACGUGACCUACUAUGACAAACACGUAUCAUCAUGGAAGUGUAUUUUUUUGUAGUGGGUGUUGAUGUAUAAGCCCUCCGUGAUCGAUUCCCCCUCCGACGGAGCGCCGGAAAAGGCCCCAAGAUGGGAUCUCAUGGGUACAGAAGGUUGCGGCGGUGGAAAUAGGGUUUCGUGGUGCUCCCCGAUGUUUUCAGGGUAUAUGAGUAUAUAUAGGCGAAGGAAGUCGGUCAGGGUAGCCAUGAGGGGCCCACGAGGGUGGGGGCACGCCUCCCUGCCUCGUGGCCGCCUCGUUUCUUUCUUGAUGUCCACUCCAAGUCUGCUGGAUUGCGUUUGUUCCAAAAAUAACUCUCCCAAAGGUUUCAUUCCGUUUGGACUCCGUUUGAUAUUCCUUUUCUGUGAAACACUGAAAUAGGCAAAAAAAAACAGCAAUUUGGGCUGGGCCUCCAAUUAAUAGGUUAGUCCCAAAAUAAUAUAAAAGUGCUUAGUAAAGCCCAUUAAACAUCCAAAACAUGUAAUAUAAUAGCAUGGAACAAUCAAAAAUUAUAGAUACGUUGGAGACGUAUCACUCACCGACUACACCACCGCCAUCAGCAUCACCGGCAGCAACCACCGGCUCGCCAUGCGCUACGCGACGCUCAUGCUCCAAGGGUCGGCCCGCACCUGGUUGAACAGUCUGCCGGUGGGCAGCGUCAACAUGUGGGUCGACUUCGAGCAGGCCUUCAUACGCAACUUCAGGGGACUUACAAGCGACCCGGCCGCCCCAGCCAGCUCGCCAUGUGCGUGCAGGGGCCGAUGCUGAUCGGCCGCGAGUACCUCGCACGCUGGACAGAGCUCCGGAACAGCUGCGAGGGCGUCCACGAGGUUCAAGUGUUCUAGUACUUCGUCAACGGAUAGUGAGAUGGCACCCUCCUCAUGCACAAGCUCUUGCACUCCGAGUCGGCCACCAUGGCCGCGCUCAUGGUAACAGCGGACAAGUACGCCAACACCGACUCCACCAUGAAGAUCCAGGUGGCAUUGGAUGAAGCCGGCAAAGCAAAGCCGGUUCCCCCUCCGAAGCCGGCCGGUGAAGGCAGCCGGCAGACCGGCAAGAUGGCGUGGCAACCCGCUAUGAGCUUCGAGGAGAUGCUCGACGCCCCUGCAAGCACCACAGCGGCGCAAGGCCAUCCACGCACACGCUUCGGUAGUGCGGCAUCACCAAGCGCAUCAAGAGGGGCAACAUCCCGCCCCCUCCGGCUCCGGCUCCGGGCGCGGGUCAGCCACCUCCACCUCCACCGCCGCCCCCAGCCGACGACGCGAUGCGCGACGACACCUACCCGGACCAGAACGCGGCCAACACCGUCUUCACCAGCCUCAACAACGACAAGCGCAGCGAGUACCUCCUUCAGCAGGAGGUGAACACCGUCAUCCCGGCCAAGCCAGAUUGCAUGCACUGAUCAGUCCUCCCGGUCACAUGGACCCGGAAAGACCACCCGGCUGUCAUGCCGAAUCCGAGUGGCUACGCCCUCGUCCUCAACCCCACCAUCAUUGCGCGACGCACGUGCAAGUUUUCUCGAGUCCUCAUUGACUGCGGCAGCAGCAUCAACAUCCUCUAUCGCGACACCAUGACCAAGCUCGACCUCGAGGCCAAGGACCUGGAGCCGACCCGGACGAUCUUCCACGGCAUUGUCCCCGGCCUCUUCUACCUCUUGAGCAUGCGUUGGUUUUCCCUUGAAGAGGAAAUGGUGAUGCAGCAAAGUAGCGUAAGUAUUUCCCUCAGUUUUUGAAAACCAAUGUAUCAAUCCAGCAGGAGGCCACACGCAAAUCCCUCGUACCUACACAAACAAAUAAGAACCUUGCAACCAACACGAUAAAGGGGUUGUCAAUCCCUUCAUGGCCACUUGCAAAAGUGAGAUCUGAUAGAGAUAAUAAUAAGAUAAAUAUUUUUGGUAUUUUCAUGAUGUAGAUUGGAAAGUAAAGAUUUCAAAAUAAAAUAGAUUGGAAACUUAUAUGAUGAAAAAUAGACCCGGGGCCGUAGGUUUCACUAGUGGCUUCUCUCAAGAUAGCAUAAGUAUUACGGUGGGUGAACAAAUUACUGUUGAGCAAUUGAUAGAAAAGUGCAUAGUUAUGAUAAUAUCUAGGCAUGAUCAGGUAUAUAGGCAUCACGUCCGCGACAAGUAGAUCGAAACGAUUCUGCAUCUACUACUAUUACUCCACACAUCGACCGCUAUCCAGCAUGCAUCUAGAGUAUUAAGUUCAUAAGAAUAGAGUAACGCAUUAGGCAAGAUGACAUGAUGUAGAGGGAUAAACUCAAGCUAUAUGAUAUAAACCCCAUCUUUUUAUCCUCGAUGGCAACAAUACAAUAUGUGCCUUGCUGCCCCGGCUGUCACUGGGAAAGAACACCGCAAGAUUGAACCCAAGCUAAGCACUUCUCCCAUUGUAAGAAAGAUCAAUCUAGUAGGCCAAACCAAACUGAUAAUUCGAAGAGACUUGCAAAGAUAACCAAUCACACAUAAAAGAAUUCAGAGGAGAUUCAAAUAUUGUUCAUAGAUAAUCUUGAUCAUAAACCAACAAUUCAUUGGAUCUCGACAAACACACCGCCAAAAGAAUUACAUCGAAUAGAUCUCCAAGAAGAUCGAGGAGAACUUUGUAUUGAGAAUCAAAGAGAGAGAAGAAGCCAUCUAGCUAAUAACUAUGGACCCGAAGGUCUGUGGUAAACUAGUCACACUUCAUCAGAGAGGCUAUGGUGUUGAUGUAGAAGCCCUCAAUGAUCAAUUCCCCCUCCGGCGGAGCGCCGGAAAAGGCCCCAAGAUGGGAUCUCACGGGCAUAGAAGGUUGCGGUGGUGGAAAUAGGGUUUCGUGGUGCUUCUGGAUGUUUUUAGGGUAUAUGGAUAUAUAUAGGCGAAGGAAGUUGGUCAGGGGAGCCAUGAGGGGCCCACGAGGGUGUGGGGGGGCCACCCCCCUAGGGCGCGCCCUCCUACCUUGUGGCUGCCUCGUUUGUUUCCUGACGUCCACUCCAAGUCUCCUGGAUUGCGUUUGUUCCAAAAAUAACUCUCCCAAAGGUUUCAUACCGUUUGGACUCCGUUUGAUAUUCCUUUUCUGCAAAACACUGAAAUAGGCAAAAAACAGCAAUUUGGGCUGGGCCUCCGGUUAAUAGGUUAGUCCCAAAAAUAAUAUAGAAGUGUAUAGUAAAGCCCAUAAACAUCCAAAACAGGUAAUAUAAUAGCAUGGAACAAUAAAAAGUUAUAGAUACAUUGGAGACGUAUCAGGCAUCCCCAAGCCUAAUUCCUGCUCAUCCUCGAGUAGGUAAAUGAUAAAAACAGAAUUUUUGAUGUGGAAUGCUACCUAGCAUAUUUCUCAAUGUAAUUUUCUUUAUUGUGGCAUGAAUGUACAGAUCCAAAUGAUUCAAGAUAAAAGUUUAAUAUUGACAUAAAAAUAGUAAUACUUCAAGCAUACUAACAAAGUAAUCAUGUCUUAUCAAAAUAACGUAGCCAAAGAAAGCUUAUCCCUACAAAAUCAUAUAGUUAGGCCAUGCUUUAUUUUUGUCACACAAAAUACUCCCAUCAUGCACAACCCCGGUUUCAGCCAAGCAAUUGGUCCAUACUUUUUAACGCGCUUAAGCUUUUUCAACCCUCACGCAAUACAUGAGCCUAAGCCAUGGAUAUAGCACUAUGGGUGGAAUAGAAUAUGAUGAUGGAGGUUGUGUGGAGAAGACAAAAAAGGAGAAAGUCUCACAUUGAUGCGGCUAAUCAACGGGCUAUGGAUAUGCCCAUCAAUUGAUGUCAAUGCAAGGAGUAGGGAUUGCCAUGCAACGGAUGCACUAGAGCUACAAAUGUAUGAAAGCUCAAAAAGAAACUAAGUGGGUGUGCAUCCAACUCGCUUGCUCACGAAGACCUAGGGCAUUUCGAGGAAGCUUGUCAUUGGAAUAUACAAGCCAAGUUCUAUAAUGAAAAAUUCCCACUAGUAUAUGAAAGUGACAACAUAGGAGACUCUCUAUCAUGAAGAUCAUGGUGCUACUUUGCAGCACAAGUGUGGAAAAAGGAUAGUAACAUUGUCCAUUCUCUCUUUUUCUCUCAUUUUUUAUUUUUUUCUUUCCUUUUUUAUUUUGGUGGGCUUCUUUGGCCUCUUUUUUUAUUUGGGCUUCUUUGGCCUCUUUUAUUUUUCAUAAAGUCCAAAGUCUCAUCCCGACUUGUGGGGGAAUCAUAGUCUCCAUCAUCCUUUCCUCACUUGGGAUAAUGCUCUAAUAAUGAAGAUCAUCACACUUUUAUAUACUUACAACUCAAGAAUUACAACUCAAUACUUAGGACAAAAUAUGACUCUAUAUGAAUGCCUCCAGUGAAAGUGCAAUCUUGCUCUUAAAGAUUAUUUUUGAUAUUGAUGACAAAUCUACAUAUAGGGGACUAACCAUGUUUUCUAAGUAUAUACACAGGCCGUCAAUCCUCUAGUUUUUUCUAAUGUGCAUCAUGAUCACAUCAUAUGAGAUUUUACCCAAGAAAAUUAUCAAUGAGGAAAGGUGCAAACAAAGACGAAGCAUUGUGCUCUUUUAUAUUUCUUGAGUAAUAGGAAUCCUGGACUGUUAAGAGGGGAUCCGAGGUGUAGGUUCAAGACUUUCUCACAUUUUGUCUCACAAGCAAUUUUUCACAAAGGAGCAAAAUCCCUAGCAAAACCCCUUAGCCAAAACCUCCCACUUCUCCUAGCCGGAUCAUCCGGAUGGGUCCCAGAUCAUCCGGGCUAAACCCGGAUCAAUCAGACCCUGCUCCGGAUCAUCCGGAUAAUGUGCAUUUUUCAUCACAGAAUGCUGGUGGCUGAAGCCGAAUCGUCCGGAUGUUCAUCCGGAUCAUCCGGGAUGUGCGCCGGAUCGUCCGGAUCCUGUCCCGGAUCAUCCGAGAAAUCUUGCCCCUAUUUUCACAGAACCCAUAUGGUUGUAGCCGGAUCAUCCGGGAUAUGUCUGGAUCGUCUGGGGUGGCCUCCGGUCUGUCCGGGCUGCUCGCAGCUCUGCUGCUACCAUCUGCAUCCGGGCCUUUAGCCAGAUUAUCUAGACAAUGUCCAGAUCAUCCGGGUGGUGUCCCAGAUCAUCCGGGCUGGUCAACUUCUAUCCAAAUGACUCAAUUCUGGAUGCGGUAUAAAUAGUCCCUUACCUCUUCGAGAUAAGGUCGAACACUUCACACAAACACGCCUCAAGAACACAGUGCUCCCCCUCUCUUGCUCAUACACUAAAUCCCAAAUCCCGGCUUGAUUCUUGAGAGUUUCGAAGAGUUGUUCCAAUCAAAAGAAAGAUCUUCUCCCUCUCCUUCUUGUGACCAAAGCAAAUCGUGGCUUGAGCAAGUCUUGAGUUUUUCCCCUUGGAUCUUGUUACUCUUGGAGGUUGGAGACUCCUAGGCGGUAGGAGUCAUUCGGUGAGGAAUCAACCAUUGUGAUUACCCCCGGAAAGUUUGUGAGGGUUUGGAGACCACCCCAAGGUCUACCACUAGUGGUUGAGAAACGCCUUCGUGGUGUUGUCUCAAAGAGAGAAUAGGGCGAGCCUUCGUGGCGUUGGUGUGCCUUCGUGGUAACAUCCACCUCUCUAAACGGUGACAUAGCUUCCCUCCAAGGAAGUGAACAUCGACAUACAUCCUCAUCUCUCGGAGUUGCGGUUAUUCCUAACCCUAACUCCCUACUUGUGGUUACUUGUCUCUUGCACUUACGUUUAUCAUAUUGUGCUUGCUUAGUCAUAUAUUUGUGCCACUUGUUUAUCUUUCUUAGCACUUAGUAAUACACUUGCAAUUGUUAGGCUCACCUUCAUAUUCUGCAUUAUUGCCUAAAAUUGCUAAGUAAUAAUUAAUAUUUGUAAUUCUACCUAUUCACCCCCCUCUAGGUCCAUCUCGAUCCUUUCAUCUGGCGGUGUACCAGGAUAUGCAAUGAAUCAAGAGCGACAUGUAUGAAAGAAUUAUAACGGUGGCUUUGCCCCAAAUACAAUUUCAACUACAUGAUCAUGCAAUAGCAAUAUGACAAUGAUGGAGCGUGUCAUAAUAAACGGAACGGUGGAAAGUGGCAUGGCAAUAUAUCUCGGAAUGGCUAUGGAAAUGCCAUAAUAGGUAGGUAUGGUGGCUGUUUUGAGGAAGAUAUAAGGAGGUUUAUGUGUGAUAGAGCGUAUCGUAUCAUGGGGUUUGGAUGCACCGGCGAAGUUUGCACCAACUCUCAAGGUGAGAAAGGGCAAUGCACGGUACCGUAGAGGCUAACAAUGAUGGAAGGGUAAGAGUGUGUAUAAUCCAUGGACUCACAUUAGUCAUAAAGAACUCAUAUACUUAUUGCAAAAGUUUAUUAGCCCUCGAAGCAAAGUACUACUACACAUGCUCCUAGGGGAAGGGUUGGUAGGAGUUAACCAUCGCGCAAUCCCGACCACCACUCAUAAGGAAGGCAAUCCAAGAACACCCCAUGCUACAAAUUUGUCACACAACUUUUACCAUACGUGCAUGCUACGGGACUUGCCAACUUUAACACAAGUAUUUCUCAAUUUCAUAAUUACCCAACUAGCAUGACUCUAACAUUACCACCUUUAUAUCUCAAAACAAUUAUCAAGUAUCAAAUUUAUCAUAGUGUUCUAAUGCACUUUAUAUGAUAGUUUUUAUUAUACCCAACUUGGAUGUCCAUCAUAUUAGGACUAAUUUUAUAACCAAAGCAAGUACCAUGCUAUUCUAAAAAACUCUCAAAAUAAUAUUAGUGAAGCAUGAGAGAUCAAUAAUUUCUACAAAAUAAAACCACCCCCGUGCUCUAAAAAGAUAUAAGUGAAGUACUAGAGCAAAACUGUCUAGCUCAAAAGAUAUAAGUCAAGCACAUAGAGUAUUCUAAUAAAUUCCAAUUCAUGUGUGUCUCUCCCAAAAGGUGUAUACAACAAGGAUGAUUGUGGUAAACUAAAAAUCAAAGACUAAAAUCAUACAAUAUGCUCCAAGAAAAACACAUAUCAUGUGGUGAAUAAAAAUAUAGCAUCAAGUAAAGUUACCGAUGGACGAAGACAAAAAAGGGGAUACCUUCCAGGGCACCCCCAAGCUUAGGCUUUUGGUUGUCCUUGAAUGUUACCUUGGUGUGCCUUGUGCAUCCCAAAUCUUAGGCUAUUGCCACUCCUUAUUCCAUAAUCCAUCAAAUCUUUACCCAAAACUUGAAAACUUCACAACACAAAACUCAACAGAAAAUCUCAUAAGCUCUGUUAGUGCAAGAAAGCAAACCACCACUUUAAGGUACUAUAAUGAACUCAUUAUUUAUUUAUAUUGGUGUUAAACCUACUGUAUUCCAACUUCUCUAUGGUUCAUACCACCCGAUACUAGCCAUAGAUUCAUCAAAAUAAGCAAAUAACACACGAAAAACAGAAUCUGUCAAAAACAGAAUAGUCUGUAGUAGUAUGUAACUUUAGAAUACUUAUGUAACUCUAAAAAUUCUACCAAAAUAGUAAGUCCUGGAAAAUGUUUCUAUUAAUCUUCUACAAAAAGAAUCAACUAAUAAGCACGUUUCUUUGAUUUAUUAUAAUUAUUCUCGUGCGCGUAAAAGUUUCUGUUUUUCAGGAAGAUCAAAUUAACUAUCACCCAAGAUGAUCCUAUAGGUUCUACUUGGCACAAACACUAAUUAAAACAUAAAAACACAUCUAACCAGAAGCUAUAUGAAUUAUUUAAUACUAAACAGGAGCAAAAAGCUAAGAACAAAAAUAAAAUUGGGUUGCCUCCCAACAAGCGCUAUUGUUUAACGCCCUAGCUAGGCAUAAAAGCGAGAAUAGAUCUAGGUAUUGUCAUCUUUGGUAUUCAAUUCAUAGGUGGCUCUCAUAAUAGAUUCAUAAGGUAAUUUGAUUUUCUUCCUAGGAAAGUGUUCAAUGCCUUUCCUUGAUGGAAAUUGGAAUCUAAUAUUUUCUUCCUUCAUAUGAAUAAUUGCACAAAUCGUUCUAAGGAAAGGUCUACCAAGAAUAAUAAGACAUGAAAGAUUGCAAUCUAUAUCAAGAACAAUAAAAUCUACGGGCACAUAAUUCCUAUUUUCAACAAUAAGAACAUUAUUAAUCCUUCCCAUAGGUUUCUUAAUGGUGGAAUCUGCAAGGUGCAAGUUUAAAGAGCAAUCAUCAAAUUCACAGAAACCUAACACACCACACAAAGUUUUUGGAAUCGUGGAAACACUAGCACCCAAAUCACACAAAGCAUAGCAUUCAUGAUCUUUAAUUUUAAUUUUAAUAGUAGGUUCCCACUCAUCAUAAAGUUUUCUAGGGAUAGAAACUUCUGAUUCAAAUUUCUCUUCAUAAGAUUUCAUUAAAGCAUCAGCGAUAUGUUUAGUAAAAGCUUUAUUUUGACUAUAAGCACAAGGAGAAUUCGACACGGAUUGCAACAAGGAAAUACAAUCUAUUAAAGAACAAUUAUCAUAAUUAAAUUCCUUGAAAUCCAAAAUAGUGGGUUCAUUGCUAUGUAAAGUUUUGACCUCUUCAAUCCCACUUUUACCAAUUUUUGCAUCAAGAUCUAAAACUCCGAAUCAUUGGGACGCCUUUUAACUAAAGUUGACUCAUCUCUAGUCCCAUCAUUAUCAAGAUUCAUAUUACAAAACAAAGAUUUAAUAGGAGACACAUCAAUCACUUUUAGAUCUUCAUCCCUAUUAUCAUGAAAACUAGAAGAACACGCUUUUACAAAGCAAUCUUUCUUAGCACGCAUCCUAGCGGUUCUUUCUUUGCACUCAUCAAUGGAAAUUCUCAUGGCUUUGAGAGACUCAUUGAUAUCAUGCUUAGGUGGAAUAGAUCUAAGUUUCAAAGAAUCAACAUCAAGAGAAAUUCCAUCCACGUUCCUAGCCAAUUCAUCAAUCUUAGGCAACUUUUCUUCAAGCAAAGCAUUGAAAUUCUUUUGAGAAAUCAUAAACUCUUUAACACUAAUCUCAAAAUCAGAGGGCAUCUUAUUAAAAUUUCCAUAAAAGUUGUUGUAGGAAUUACCAUAAUUAUUAGAGGAAUUACUAGGAAACAGCCUAGGAUUAAAGUUUCCUCUAUACGCAUUGUUACCAAAAUUAUUCCUACCAACAAAAUUCACAUCCAUAGAUUCAUUAUUAUUCUCAAUCAAAGUAGACAAAGGCAUAUCAUUAGGAUCAAUAGGAGCACUCUUAUUAGUUAACAAUUUCAUAAGUUCACCCAUCUUUCCACUCAAAACAUUAAUUUCUUCUAUCACAUGAACCUUUUUACUAGUAGAUCUUUCGGUGUGCCAUUGAGAAUAAUUAACCAUAAUAUUAUCUAGGAGUUUAGUAGCUUCUCCUAAAGUGAUUUCCAUAAAAGUGCCUCCCGCGGUCGAAUCUAAAAGAUUUCUAGAAGCAAAAUUCAAUCCGACAUAAAAUUUUUGUAUGAUCAUCCAUAAACUUAAUCCAUGAGUAGGGCAAUUGCGAAUCAUUAAUUUCAUCCUCUCCCAAGAUUGUGCAACAUGUUCAUGAUCAAGUUGCUUAAAA